This 49178-nucleotide long non-coding RNA is filed under the name Homo sapiens (human). RNAcentral's name for it is "non-protein coding lnc-ATP6V1D-8:4". Lineage: Eukaryota; Metazoa; Chordata; Mammalia; Primates; Hominidae. The record is from RNAcentral.
CUCUCGCCGGCGGGCCGGCUUUCUACGCGGGGGCAGCGAGGCUGGCUCAGCACCCCGGGCCUCCUCUUGCAACCCUCGGGAAUGGCCGGCCGCCCCACUGAAAGCGCUGGGGAACCGAGAGGUGUCUUAGAAAGCUGCAUGAGUGGCAGAACGGUGGCUACUAUGACAGAGAGGCCGCCGUGGGCGAAGAGGGAGUGUGACAUUCUUCAGAAUUCAUCCUGGAAUCAAUAUUAUGCCAAAGAAAAUUUUCUGAAAGCUACACAGAUCAUACCACUGCAACUCAGCCAACCAGCACAUCGGACAGUGGGAGGAGGAAUUCUUGGCUAAGAGUACUGAGAGAUGGGGUUUCACCAUGUUAACCAGGAUUGUCUCAAUCUCCUGACCGCGUGAUCCACCUGCCUCAGCCUCCCAAAGUGCUGGGAUUACAGGCGUGAGCCACCAUGCCUGGCCAAAAUUCUGUAUGUCUUUCUAAUCUCACUUCCUAAUGGAGAUAAAAUAGAUCUCAGGCUUAUGUAUUUUUCUAGAACAUUAAAAUCUUGUUUUUUGUGUAUUUAUUAUUAAGUUUACCUUCUAUUGUGGAAAACUCUAUUGAUUCUUCAUUUAAAAUAGUAAUAUAAAUUUUAUUUUCAAGGAAUGCAUUUAGGAAACUAAAGAAGUCAAUGUAAACAACAAAUAUUGAAUAAAUAAUAGUCCAGGUGAUACACAAAGUUGGAAAAUACUACAACACCUACCAUUAAGAAAUUAUUACCAAAUAGGUUGGUAAUAACCUCUUUACAUAAUUAGUUUUAAAAUCCUUUAUGAAGAGAAUAUUUGUUUGCUUUUAAAUAAUCAAAUACUAGAGGUGAAAAAAUAGGCCACAUAACCAAAAUAUAGGACUCCAUUAGAUUUCAAAUCCACUUGGGCUCAAACAAACCUAUAGAGUUUGAAUACAUGUGUUAGAAAAUGAAACUGGCCCAUAAUUAGUGCUAAAUGAAUGCAGAAUCAAUUUAACACAUUGAUCCAUUGCCUGUGGCUACAUUAAUUUGUGGUAACUAAGCCGUAUAGUACCCUAUCAUUUAAUUCUCCAGGAACAUAAAAGGAAAGGAGAGAAAAGAAGAUGUGGAUCUGUGGCUGUUCCAAUUCAAAGUUGAUUCAAUGUUUUACAUGCAAGGAGAAAAAAUAUCUCCUGAGACAAUCAAGUUGAAUGGAACCCUUAUUUACUAAUUUAGACUUAAUUUGAUUCUGGAGCUAAAAAGCUUUUGGCUCUUUACCAUAUAGAUCCCUUGAGAUGACCUUCAGCUAAUUUUGAAUGAAGUAAAACAGGGACUUGUCUGUCUUCCUCAUAACCCUCUUCUCUUCUGUCUUUUAAAUUUGUAUCUUAAUGAUUUAAUACUGCUUCUUGUUGCAUUCCAGGAUUCUUUCCAAUUUUAUGCUGUCCAAUUCUUAUUAGAACAUAAAUUGAAAGAAAAAUAUGCAUAGAAUACUGCCUGAAGGAUAGUCAGUUCAGUCUUACUAGUUUUCUAAAAUUUACCUAUGGAUCAAGCCAGACCAGAGAGUCUUAUGUACCUGAAUCAAAUCAUCUUGAGGUGAUUUGUCACUUAAAAUAAAUUUCAGAUUAAUAUCUUUUUAUCAGAUUAUGCCAAAGAACAGAGGAGAAACAACCUAGGAAAUUUAGAUUCUGAAUUUAUUUUGAAAUAUUGUUGAAGACAUUGGCGACUAUCAUCACACAAACAAUGUCCUGCCCCCAUUAUAUGGACCUGGAGGAGAAAUUUCUCUCAGAUUUCAACACCAGGAAAAACUAUGUUUCUCCUGAGCAAUUGGUUUGUUGUUACUUCAUGAGUUUCAUAAAUCCAUGUUUCUUUUUACUGGAAAAUUCAGAACCAAAUUUGUAGCCUACCUCUGCCAGCUGUACAGUACUCUCAUUAUGCAUUCUUGUGUAUUUGCCCGGCUUCAACUUAUUUUCCCUUUUCUUUGAUUUACUCAUAUAUUUAUUUAACCCUAUGUGUUGACUGUGAUUUUUGUAAGCUGUUUAAGCGCUUUACAGAAUAAGACUAAGAAAUUAGAAACAUACAUACUGAUACUGAUAGAACAUUGUCAUCCCUUGGCCAUGAUUUCCCAUCUCGUGUCCUUUUUGAAAAAUGGAGUUCAUAUUCAUAGAUACUUGAAAAUUUAAGAACUUUUUCCCUGUCCUCAGAGCCAUCUCUAUAUUCUAUUUUUUAAAUGAACUAUAUUAUUUUCUCUAAUAUUGCCGUAAAUUCUGUGGGGAAAUCGCUGAAACUCUCAGAGGGACAACUGGAUUGACAAAAUUCACAACCUUUGUCAGAUGUCUGUCUCCUUGGCCUUCUGCUUUGAAGUAGCAGAGUCUAUUCCAGCAAGAUUAAUAAGAUUAAACAAUUCUAAUUCCUAGAAAAGGGGAUGAGGUGGAAAGGAAACAUAUUUUAUUGAGUGCUAGCUAUAUAUCAGCUACAUAUGCUAAGUAUGUAAUAUAUUACUUUAUCUUUACAAAGGAAAACAGUUCUCCCAGAGAGAAUCUUUGCCUUAGUAAAGAAGCUUCUGAGUCAUAAAAAUGAUGAUAGGCCGGGCGUGGUGGCUCACACCUGUAAUCCCAGCACUUUGGGAGGCCAAGGCAGGUGGAUCACGAGGUCAGGAGUUCAAGACCAGCCUGGCCAACAUGGUGAAACCCCGUCUCUACUAAAAAUACAAAAAUUAGCUGGGCAUGGUGGUGCGUGCCUGUAAUCCCAGCUACUCGGAAGGCUGAGGCAGGAGAAUUGCUUGAACUGGGACCCGGGAGGCAGAGGUAGCAGUGAGCUGAGAUCGCACCACUGCACUCCAGCCUGGGCAACAGAGCCAGACUCUGUCUCAAAAAAAAAAAAAAGAUAAUGAAAAAAUUAAUUACUGUACUACUAACAUUUAACUUACUGUGUGCCAGGCAUUGUGUUGCUCACUUUACAAGUAAAGGUCUCCAAUAUAAAAUAAACAAAACAAAACCUCAAACUGUGUACCUGGGAUAUUCUACCUACCUUGGGACCCAGGAAGAUUUAAAAAUGCUUGCAUUGGCUCAAAAUUCUGCUGCAAAUACAGUGAUAAUUUCAGGUCAUUGGCCUUCUGGUAGUUCUUCAAGGCUUCAAUUCUCAGCUCAAUCACUUUGCCAUGAAAAUCAUUCUGAAAGAGAAUAUUUUCCAAAACUACACAUAUAGGAUUGGCUUCUCUGAAUCCAUUGUUACCUGAAUCCUCUUUACCCAGAAGUUAAAAAGUAAUUCCAUCAUGCUCAGUCUUUAAAAGUUGGGUAGAAAGUAUUUGUGAUUUUUCCCCAUUUAGAAUAGAACGAAAUCAAGAAUAUAGGAAGAAAUACCAUUUAUUCCAAGUUCAGAGAUAGGUCCCUUCAGCUAUCUUUCUAUGAUACAUUUGUUUUAGCAGGGCAAUCGGUAAUCUAGGAUGUGGGGACUGGGCUUCACAAUAUGCAGCUAAAAGCCUUUGUAUUAUAUGAAUGAAAUUGCAUCCUAUAUCCAGCCUUGGAAGAUCUUAGUACCUGAAGGAUGUUAUUUUGUUCCUGAUACUUGACCCAUUCCAUUUUCCUCUGUUGCUUUUCCUGGUGGAAGAAAGAGCCUCUGGGUGACAAAGUAAAUUGAGAUCAGCAAUCAGUUUUCUCAAUAUGCUGCAAAAGCCUUAUAGCAAAAUUAUAGUGUCGCAGAUUUACUAUUAAAUUGACUUUAACUGCACAAUUCUCUUAAUUGGCCUCAACUGUACAAGCCAUCCUCUAAAAGCUAAUGAAUAGGGUUAUUUUAUGUUGGUGAGUUGGUUAUGGGAAGAUGAGAUACCAGCAUACUACCACUGAAUACAUUUUCAAAGACAAAUGAACGGAAGUUCUGACAUCAUUUAGCUGUUGCAGAGUUAUCAUUGUUGGUAUAGCUUCUCUCACUUUUUCGUAAUAUGAUUUCCCAGAAACUUGUGAUAUCACUCUAACUCAAAUAUAGUAACACAAGGGAACCAAAUCUAUAAAAAUUGGCAUUGGUCCAAGAGCACACCAUACCUUAGGCAAAUUACUACAACAUUAAAGAUUUCUAGUUUACUAGCUCUAAAAGCCACUGCCAUUCAGAAUGGCUGUACUACCUUCCUUAUCUCCUUCACUUUCUCUGCAAAUGAUUUCUCCAGUUCACUCUCAGUCUUCCUAGGUGAUGAGGGGGAUUUGGGAGCCUGGGAUGAAAGAAGAGAGCUAAAGGAAUAAGAGGUCCUAGGAAAGAAGUGCAAUGUCUCAGCAGGCCAUAAAUCUAAUAAACCCUAAAAACCCAGAUCCUACCUAUCUGCCUACCCAAAUUAGCCCUGAUUGUCAGCAGGCUGUUUCCAGCUGUGUGACAUCGACAAUCUUGAAAUUUUAAGUACAUGCAGUCCACUUGCCUUUCCAUCCUGCAAGUCUGCCUUGUUUUUUGUCUGUGGUGCUUUUUGUUGAUCACUAAGUUCUUCUGCCUCGAAUGUCUGUGGAAAGACAUUUUGGCAAAGCUUUAAAGUAGUGGAAAUUAAAGAGGGAAGUGGAAAACCAAUAUGGGUCAAGGUUUUGGUUCCUGCCAGUCAGCAGCUUCUCAGGGCCUGGCAUGAAAAGUGUACUACCAAAGGGAGUUGAGAAUGUAAUGAGCCCUUCCUUUCAUUCAGUCCCUUGAGUGUACCUUAUAGGAAUGAAAACUAUUAGCUGGACCCUUAGCCAGUCACUACUCUAAGCUACUUACUGCAUUACUCUGCUUAUUUUCCUUACUGUACUGUAUUGCAGACAUUCUCAUUUAAUCCUCACAAUUCUUUGAGGACCAUUUUUAUUUCCAUAUUAUAGAUGAGAAACCUGAGACUUGGAGAGGUUAUUUGUUUAGGGUUACACAACUAGGAAAGUACAGAGUUGGAAUUUGAACCAGAUCUUUCUGAUUCUGAAGCCUGUGUUCUUGACCACUAGGCAUGCUGUUCUUCUAAAAUAUGAGUAGGGAAAGUUGAUCACAGGUUAAGUGUAUAGAUGUCCCUUUUGAGAGCUCUGUAGAAGCUGGAUUUAGAUAGAGGAAUUGUGCUGGCACAUUUCCUAUUACGAGGACUCAAGAACCCAGGAACUAAAACUUCUGGAAAUUCAUAGAACUAAUUUGUAACUGCCCACGAGAACCUGGAGCAGAUCUCAAUACAAGAUGCAGGGCUUGAAGGUAUUCUGAUUAUUUGUGGAAAAGUCAGAUGAAAAAAAAAGACAGAGAUCACACUAUAUAUCUGUUUAUAUCACAAGACACAGUCUACUCUUCUAGUUGCAUAGUCUGUAAAGAAGCACUUGGGUCCCAAGGGAUUAGUCUUGGACAAAGUCUCGGACAAGGGACAAAGGAAUUCCCUGUCCCCUUCCCCCUACUCCCUGGCUCUGGUUUCCCAGCAAAAGGCCCUAAUAUUGUUAUCUUAAACAAUGUGGUGAUUGCUGUAAAAUUAUAAGGGUAUUGGAAUUAGGUAUUCAUUUGUUUAUUCAUCCAACUUACAUGUAUUGAUUCUCUACUAUGUUCCAAGCAUUGUGCUAGGAGCUAUAGAUUUGGACAAAGCAAUCAAGAUAUUGAAGGAGCUUGAGAAGAUACAGGAGGAGGCAGGGAAACAAGAAACAAUUUAAAAAGUAAUAAUAAUACAAUAAUAAUAAUUUUAUAUUAUAAACAGUGCUAUUGAGCACAUAAGCAGAGUUAUAUAAUAGAAAAGGGGAGGAGGAUGCCCUACUUUAGAUGGAGCAAACAAGGAUGGCUUCUCUAAGGAGAUGACAUUUAAGCUGAGACCUGAAGGAUGAGAAUGAGCCAACCAUGAGAAAAUAGCAUUACAGGCAGUGGAGAAGGCAAGAGCAAAGUCCUUGAGAUAGGAAAAAGCUUGGCAUGUUUGAGAAACCACAAGAAGCCAGUGGCAUGGUUGCAUAGAAAGCAAGGGAAGGACAUCUAUGAGAGGAAACUGGAGAAUAGGCAAGAGCCAGAUUAUGCCACAAUUAGUGGCUGUAAAGGUUUUUCAUAAGAAGAGUAACAUGCUUUGAUUGUUUUAAAAAGAUCACCUUGGCUGCUGUGUAGAGAAUGGAUUGGAAUGAGGCAUGGGUGGAAGCAAGGACAUGAAACAAUGAGGAUGGGGGCCAGAGGAAAGGGAGGUUCUUUGCGUUGUGAUCUGUAGGACAAUACUUUCAAUAGAUCCUUAGAGGCACACCUUGUUCCAUAGCAUCUCCAUUUCCUUCCGAAGCAUCUUGUUUUUCCUUUCCUGUUGGAGGGGGAAGAACCAAACAAACAGAAGCAUGUAUUUGUCCAGCCAUUGAAGUGGGUUUGGAAGAAGUUACUAAGUAAUAGUGGAAAAAGGGUCCAGGGACAUAGUAAACCACAGAGGAAGGCAAUGAAUGGGUCUAAUCCCAAAUCCAGGAGCAUAAGAGAUGUUUGAUGAUGAUGAUGGUAAAAAAAAAACCAAGUUAUUGUUUUAAGUAAUAACUUUAAUUAUAAUAAUUGUGAGACAGUAUCUAUAGAAAUGAGUUCCUAACACUUAAGAUGCUCUUAUGUGGCCAUUUCUUGGGGGCUUAGACCACUAAUUUUUAAUUUUUAAGAUCCUUUACAUUGCUGAUUGAAAGAAAAUCUUGUAAGAAUCCUGCAGAGCAAACUAUUUCUUUUCUUUUACUUUGAUAGGUAUUUUCUAUUCUUUAUAGCAAAUAUUUUACUAUUCUUUCUGAAAUGUGAAGAGUUAAUAUGGUUAUAUUCAUUAAUUCCCUAGAUAAAAAGUUUUUAAAAGUCAAAGAAUAGAAUUUUUGCUUGCUAGUCGUGUUCUUCCCAACAUUCCAUCUGACUCCUUUUGGGUCACCCUGGACUUUCUAGAUCAAGGAGAUAUGAGUGUUGGAGCAUCAGAUGCUAGAGAUGAGUACUCUGUCUUUCUCUCCACAUCUGACACUGCAAUGGAAUUGAGCCCUAUUCAGGAGGCUGUUCCUGGAGUCCCUCCUACUUCUUACCAAGUUCUGUUUCAUCUCCUCUGCUUCCUUAAGGAGCUCCAUGACCGAGGAUUCCUCACACCCCUUCCCUGCCAUGAUCUGUCUCAUGAUCUGAAGACUAGAAGAAAGAGAGGCAUCAUAAAACAUACAUACCUCCUUAAGGGUAAUACUGAUGUUCUGCAACUAGUCAGAAAGUACUCUACCAUGAAAGUUAGAUGGCGACUGAAAUAUCAGGAGUUAUGGAAGCCCUUCUGGUCAUAGAAGAUCUCUGUAACUAAGAUGUUUCCAUUUCUAAUUGACAUUUGCCUAUCUAUGUGCUCUAGAAUGAAUUCUGUGCUCUUUAAUGCUUAAAACUUAGGUCUCCAACAGCCAGGGAGAGUCCUUUCCACCCCCUCAGAAGAAUGUUGCAGUGUGUGACUUUUGGGAGAAGAAGGGGUAAUUCUGCCCCCUUUAUAAGAAGAGGUUGAAGAACCUGCUAUCUUCUAGGAUAAAUCCCAGAGUUAUUUCCUAACCCAUCUCUGUCCUCUGUCCACUUUCUCCCACUUCCUUGCUUCUUCCUAUGAGGACAUUUGAGUCUAUUGGGGAAGUCACUGAUAUCCUUUCAUAGCCCCAGAGAAUGCAAGCCAUUAAGAAGUUCUAACAAAAUCUAAAUCAAAAUCAAGUCCUUGUGAGAGAGGAUAUUCCUUAAAGGCAUAAAUUAUUUUAUAUUUGUGUUCUUGUACUUUUUUCUCCCCAGUUCUAAGCGAAGAACACAAUUCUAAGACUUUGUGUUUUCUUGCUCUGAGAGAAGUCUAUUUUGCUGAGUUGUAAGCAGCUGGUGCUUGUUGCUGAGUUGUAAGCAGCUGGUGCUUGACCACAACUUUCUGCCUGCGUUUUGUUCUCCAAAAAUAUGAGUCCUUUGAGAUGCUUAUGAUAAGGGUAUAGAAUAAAGAUAGACUCACUGAGGAGAGAGGUUCUGAGACUAGAAAGGAAACAGAGUUUGUGGGUCCCAAGUACAGUGAGUGCUCUGGUAAAGAGUUAAGACUUCAGCUGCCUAGUAUAUUUAGAGAGGCUGUGCCCUAAUUCAGAGGGCUCCUAGGCUUAGAAAAUACUGCCAUUCCACUGCUUGGCAUAGAAAGAGCAGAGUUAUUUAUUCUAAAGUGAUCAUGCAUAAGAAAGCAUCUGUGUGACCGUGGUAAACUAAUGCUAUUAAAAGCGUUUCACUAUUUCUUGGGUGGGCAGCCUGGGGAGGAAGAGUUAUAACUAGCCCCACGAAAUGAGGGCUGAGUCAUAUUUAAUUUACUAAAAGAAAAUAAAGGAUUUGUUGUCACCCUGACUUGGUAGUUACAAAUUGUUUGCCUGCUACAGCUGAAUGUCCAAACCUUUAGUAAUUAACAAAAAAAAAAAUUGUAAGUAAUUAUUGCCAGUCCUUUGGAGAUCAAGUUCUCCAGCCUUUUUACCUCUAGGAAUCCAGAGUAAGAGCCCGUACCUCCUUUGUUUUUCCUCCAAGUUAGACAUUAACUUUUGAAAUAAGAGGUUGUUUUUAUCUUCUAGAGGUUUGAGCAUCUCUAGCAGUUCCUGCUUCCUUAGCUUUAAGUCCUCAUUCAAUUCCUUCAAGUAGUUGUCAUCUAUUUUAGAACUUCUGUGGGAAGAGGCACAAUAAUAUCUGCCUUUAGCCUGGGUUGAGAGAGAGAGAGAGAGAGAGAGACCCUCUUUUCUAUUCAGCAUUUUCCAUCAAAGACUCACCUUAUUUCUGAGGGCAGGUAAGAUCCUGAAGAGUUUGCACCACUUGUCAUCUUGAAGGGUAACUUCUAAGAAUAAAGAGGCCUUCCUGAAAAUAUGUGCCUUUUUUUCUAUCCAGUUAAGUCAUUAUUUUUGUGCUGCUGUUCUUGAAACUCCUGCUGCAGUGGACUGAUCUUAGCUACAGCGAGGUCACAAUGGCCCUAAUACCACAUAAUCAACAGGUCUUUAAAGUAAUUUCAACAUCAAUGGCAGUUUGUUGACUGGAAAUACUAACUACAUCUGAUCAGUUCUUGCCUUAGAUCUAGCCAAAUGACAAAGUUUUAUUCUGAAGUCUUUGAAUGAAUAGGAUGGAAUCACAUCAUAUCUACUUUUGUGUUAGAAAAUGUUGGACUGUCAAAAACGACUCAUCAACACCUUCUUUCAUGGCAACAAACCUCUGUGAAAUGCCACUAUCUGUAGAGCACAGUGACAGAGUCUGCAAAUGAAGAAAAGAUAAAGACACAGCAUAUACCUUUUGGGGGCCUCAAGAGGAAGAAGGAAUACUUCUAAGAGACUUUUUUUUAAAAGAGAUCAAACUGGCAAAUACAGGGUAUGGAUAUAAUAGAAUAAUAUAAUAUAUAAGCCACUGUCAUUAUUUUUCAAUCUUUAAAAUUUGAUAUUAUCAUAAUGGCAGGUAAAAGAAUAUUGGACAUGUAGGAAGAGGAUUUAAUUUGUGAAAGAUCCAUAUCGUCAGUAUGUCCUUCCAUAACCACACUCUUCCCUGAAAGAUUGUGUAAUAAUUCUAGCCUCCCUUCAGGAUUUUCUGGUUCUGCUUCUAUUUUCUUUUUUAUUACAUUUCUUUUACUACAUUUCUUUUGGACCUUAAGAUCUCUUGUCUUCAUCUAUGUCACUUAUUGGAAGGUAACCCAGUUAUACAUUUGUUUUUUUUUCAUGCCUUUUAAACACAGUUUUAGAGAAGUAUUUUUAGUGAAGGUCUCAAAGUGAGUUAAGUCAUGUCAAUGUCAAGUACUAACUGAACACUUCCAGCCAUUUUCUAGGGGUGUUCUCCAAAGUAACUUAACCCCUUUAUGUUGUGGGAAACAUUAAAGGGAGAGUAUUAUAAUGGAAAUAACACAAGAUUUAGUUUGUCAGACUUUGGUUUGGAUCUCAGCUUCACUGUGCAUAGUGAGCUGCUUGUGAGCAAGUUACUAAAUUUUCUGAGUCUCAGUUUCUGCUUUUGUAAAAGUGAGAAAGGUAAUAUCGACCUGAUAGGUUCGUUGUGAGUAUGAAAUGUAUUAUGUACAGAGCUUGGUUCAUGUUAGAUGUUCCCAUUUUAGUGAGUUUGUGUUUAUUUGGUUUGGGUUUUAGGAUUGCUUAAUGCCUCAGUUAAGUGGUCAGAUACAGAAAGGGUGAUUUAUAUGAGGCUAAUGAAACUUAAACUUUAGAGCCCUUUAUUUUCACAGACCUCUUCCAAAGGCCCUGAACCUCAUUUUGUAUUCGUAAUUUUGUAUUCUUUUUUGGAAAGACAGACCACUCCAAAUUAUGUGUUUUAGGGGCCCACAAAACAAAGAUCUGCUUCUGGUUAAAUAGGAUACAUAGCUCUCCUAAGUAUCCUCUACAUCAAAACUUCUUUGGUAGUCUCUACACAUACUUCUCUUUUUUUUGAGGCAGAGUGUUGCUCUGUUGCCCAGGCUGGAGUGCAGUGGCACAGUCUCAGCUCACUGCAACCUCCACCUCCCGAGUUUAAGCGAUUCUCGUGCCUCAGCCUCCUGAGUAGCUGGGAUUACAGGUGUGCACCAUCACACCCAGCUAAUUUUUGUAUUUUUAAUAGAAAUGGGGUUUCACCUUCUUAGCCAGGCUAGUCUCAAACUCCUGACCUCAAAUGAUCCACCUGCCUUAGCCUCCCAAAAUGCUUGGAUUACAAGUGUGAGCCACCAUGCCUGGCCUACAAAUACCUUUACAACAUAUAUAUGUCACUUGUAAGUUUUGGAUGAUACCUGGUGUAAUAUGAUGUUAAAUUAGGACAGCCAUAUCAAAUCAUAUAUAAUUCACAUUGGUUGCCCUAGGAAUUUCCAUGAAAAGUUUGGAUUGAAUGAGGGUGAGAAAACGCCUCACAGUUAAAAAAAAGAAACUGGUUGGAUGAAUUAUCAUUAGUAGCAUCUUUGACUGCAUAUGUGACAGGUGGUAGCAAAUAGUAGAGGACAAAAAUGGCAUUGAUCGCUAAAGUAUUGCCUCUCUAAAUUUCAUGUUGUGAUACUUGGUUGGCAGAACUAUGAUAGAAUUUUGAAACAUUUAAUGGGCAGUAGCAGCCCAACUUACCUUCAUUUCUGUUCUUGAUUAUGAAUGAUUCAAAGAGGAAGAGCACUUGCUAUAUAUAUAUAUAUAUAUAUAUAUAUAUAUUUUUUUUUUUUUUUUUUUUUUUUUUGAGAUGGAGUUUUGUUCUUGUUGCCCAGGCUGGAGUGCAGUGGUGCAAUCUCGGCUCACUGCAGCCUCCGACUCCCGAUUUCAAGUGAUUCUCCUGCCUCAGCCCCCCAAGUAGCUGGGAUUUCAGGCAUGAGCCCCUGCGCCAGGCCAACACUUGCUAUUUUGAUGUGCUGUAUCUAUAGCCAAUCAGCACCUUUUAUUUCUUGUCUUUCCAAUGCCCAUUUGUUAACUUGCAAUAUUAAUUCCAAGGAGAAUAUUUGCCUUGUAAUAAUGUAUAUAGAGUUUUUAGUAAAUAGCUUAGAAACCAAUGAACAGUAUUAAGAGGGGAUAGCAUGAUAAUGAUCCCCUGGAACAGGGGGAAGGGCACAUUAAGAUGUAGAUGACCAUUAGAGGUGGGAGGAAGGGAAAUUGAACACAAAUUUUUUCUGAUGUAGAAAAUUAGGUCAUCUCUUGAUUGAGGAGGUGUGGCAGGAAACCUCAGAAGAGUAAUUACAUGAGAUUUGGAAGAGCACCUGAGCACUGGAAAAGGAAGCCAACCAGGCAAAAGUAAAAGGAUUGCCAAGUAGUGCAAAGGGUCAAGGUGAAUUUGGAAAUUGCAGAUUUGGCAUGGCAUGAAUCAGCAGUUACACAAUUUUCUCCAGCAGUACUUGGCAAACUAGAAGCAAUAGUAGAGAGAACGAGAUGGUUGUUUGACUCUGAGCUGGGACUUGGCAGAAUAGAUAAGCAGAAGUUCAAGGGAGCACUGAGAGUGCUGGUGAGAGUAUCCAUCAAAAGGUUGAUGAUAGUGUUCAAGCUAAGCAGGGAAGAAAAGGAAGGGGGUUGCUAAGAGAGGGGAAAACAGACCAGGGUCUGAUAUUGUGGGGUGUGGGGGUAGAAGAACAAAGGUUAUGGUCAAGUAACAUAGUGCUUAUGAAAUAACUUGUGGAAACUCAUCCUGUUUAGAUAAAUUAUAGGAACAAUUCUAUAAUUUUUUUCUGCAGUAAACUUUCUAUCUGUUGCUUCCUAUCACAGCAUAAUAUUCACUGAAAUUCAUGUGGUCUCUUAAAAUAGGCCUUAUAACAAGCUAGUCACAAUGACCUCAUCCAACAUUAGAGCAUUUGACUUUAGUAUCUGUUGAGGAAACGUGUGAUUGCUCUAUAGUUAGAGAACUUGGAGCAAUACCAUUUUAGUGUUGGUUUUGCCGGUGGAAAAUCAGAUUAGUCUAAUUAAGCCAGGUCUCCAAGAGUAGAGGCAAUUAUUUUCAUAUUAAACAAAACAAAACAAAAAAGGAGAUGCUUUCCUAUCCUCAGCUUUGUUUGUGGCAACAAAAUUACAGAAUUCCUCAGGGAGAAAACAUGAGGACCUUCUGGUCCUGUCAACCCAGAGCCAAUUCAACCCUUGGGGGAAUUAUAAGAAUUUCAUUAAAAUAAGGAGAGAAGGACUGGCUCUCCUAACAGCAAGGCUUGUUGGCUCUUAAAGAUCUCCCACAUCUUCCUGUGCUGUUUGUUAUGAACAUUUUGUUGGCUCCUUCUCCUUAACCCUUGCUGUAGCUAUCUCAAGUCAGGCUAUACCUACCUACAUUUAGAUUAAAUCCAGGGAGUUGAGAAGACUGAGAUAAAUGUUGGGACACAUUAAUUUUCUGUAAUAUUAUUGAAGUCUUUUUGAAAGUAAUUCAUUCUCUCAGUGUGUUCAGAUACAUUGCACAGUGGUCUUCAAACUGAGGUUUGUGAACUUUCCUCAAGACUUUUUGAGAAAUGUGGAAGCAAGAGUAGUUUUUAGAAAAGCUUUUCUGAGAUCCUCAAUUUCCACAAAUAUUCUUUACUAAAAUGAAUCUGCCUGAGAAUGUCCCUUGGCCUCUUUUCCCACCUCCCCUUUUCCAAUCAUGCUUCAUCCACUUGUUAAAAGAAUGGAAUACUUUUCAACCAUCUGGAAUCUUACUUGGGGUAGUUUAAUGCCCUAGAGGCUUUUACACAUCCCUUUUACACAUCUAGAGCAUUAAACUAAUCAUAUUUCAAAAUGUUGGUGCUAGGAUUAAAGAGAGUAAAUGGCUAUUAAUGACUGGAUUAUAAAUUCGUUUGCAGGUUAGGUGAUUUCCAAUUCUGUGCUGUUAACAAAAUUGAAGGAAGACCUAAUAAAAUUGUCAGCUUAAACUUAAUAAAAUUAAAUUUUGAUGAUAAAUUAUCUAUGAUUUGGGGUUUAUAAUUCAGAAGAAGUUCAAAGAUUUGAGUGACAUUGCUAUAACAAAAUACUUUCCAUUCCCAUCUCCUUAUUUGUGUAAACACUCAGUGAGUAUUGUAUGUAAAGCAAAGCAUAUGAAUAAAAUUGAUGCUUAAGCUUGUCUUAUUCUAGUAAUAAGUAAUACUCACCAAUGAAUACAUGAACUAACCAGGGAACAAAACAGCCUAUCCAUCAAAUUAAUAGAAGCACUUUCCAAAAAUUGUCAUAAUUAAAAAUUAGUUAUGAAAUAUAUAUAAUAUGUAUGUUUUUGUUAAUUGUAUACUAAUAACAAUUACAAUGCUAACUUAGUUCUGAAGAAAUGUUAACACAGUCUUAACGUCACAAAAACUAAAACAAAAUUUCAAUGUACAUAUUUUGCAGAGAAGCAUGAUGGGAUGUUAAAAAAGACUUUAAAACAUAAAAUACAUUGCAUUAGAAUAAAUUUCUAUGGGGACAGUGUAAUGGAAACAUGAGUUCAAGGAGAAAAUGUCAAAUUUUUGACUGUUGUAGAAGAGUUUUUCAUUUAUUUACAUUUCAUUAAGUAUGAGUAUUUAAGACUCGUUGGAUACAUUUUAAGGUGAUAGAUAAGACUUAUUUGAAAAUAUCAGUAUUACAAUAAACCAGAAAUUAUAUGUUUUGCAACUGUAUAAAAUUAGAAUAAAAAAUUGAGAUGGCAACUUAAAUGUGACACUGUACUUAGUUUUUCAAAAUUCUUUUAUAACACACAAGCAAAAAAAGCCUGAAGACCACUGUUCUGGGACAGAGGUUCUCUUUCUGAUGGGAUUUAAGAAUCACUUGGGGAGCCUGGAAAAGCUGCAUCUCCUCAGGGUUAUCCCCCAGAGAUUCCUACUCUGUAGAUACGAAGAACGUGAGGUUUUAAAAAGCACUCGCUAAUCCCUGGUGGUUCUGAUGCGGGAUCUGUGGAGCUAUGACUGAGAAUUACUGCUUCCAGGUUUCUUCUCCAAUCACAGCGUAUCAGCCAAAAGCUGUUUACUUGAAUUGUUUUUGUUUUUUUUGAGUGGGAGUGGGGGCAUCUGUAGAACUUACCUCCUGUGUGACAUUUUGUGUCACAUAUUCACCUUGCAUUUGGGAUACCCUGAGUAAGUUUUAUGAAGCCAUUCCUGCAUUUGUAAAGAAAAUUAUCUAAGACGUCUUUCCAUGACCAGCUCUCCCCAGCUGCCACUACUGUCCACAUAUCAUAAAUUUCUUUCAGAAUUAGAUACUAAAGAAAAUGUUGCUUCUUUGGGGAAAUAUUGGCAUGUAUUUUUCCUUAGGGACAAAUCAGUAAACUGGUUUUGUUUUUAUUUUCUUUUGGUAUGCAGGGGAUCUCAAAGCAAUUUUGUGACCAGACAUGUGAGACCCAACCCCUGUUUAUGACUUUCUAAUCUAAUUAAUACUUUUUUGUGCCUGAUUUUUUAAUCAUUUUUUCUUAUUUUCAUAAACCUCCUCAAUCCUUUGUAGAGAAGUAUAAAUAAGUAACCAAAUGAGCAAAAAUAAUUCUCUGUAUAUAUUUUUAAGAUGUAUGGAAUACAAUAGAUUGGAAGAAAAACUAUAUUCUACUUUACCUAGUGUGUGUGUGUGUGUGUGUGUGUGUGUGUGUGUGUGUGUGUCUGUAAAGAAAGUUUACUUUGCUUCUGGAAGCAGAGUAGAUUUUUGAAAUUUACUAUUAUAUUUUGGGUGCACUCAGCUAAUAAAGUAUAUUGGGGUUUUAGGUACACAUCUGGGUAAAGGGAUGUGGGACAGACUAGACAGGCUUGGGGAAUAGCUGGAUGCCCAGGCUUCAGUUCCAUCAGGGAACAGUAGCACAUAGCAAAUAAGAAAAGGAAGUAGAAUCUAUUAAUGUGGAGCAAUCCAAGUCAAUAGGGCUUCCUAGUCCACAGAAUUCCUUUUAAAAGAGGUUCAGAUCCCAUAGGCUGGUGACCAUGAAGGUGCCAAUAUUCCUCCAAAUAUACCUUAAAUCUUUUAAGAGCCUUUCAAACUAAUUUUUGGUAGACAGUAGAAGCUGAAUCAUUUACUUGUCUUACAUUUUUUGAAUCCUAUUAUGUGUUCUAGACCUGCCUAGCCCCAAGAUUACAAAGUCAAAUGAGACAAAUAAGACAAAAUUCUUGCUCUUAGGACUUUUUAGGCUUAGAUCAGAUUUCUGUGAGGGCUGCUAGUCUCCUUUGGUAUUAGAAAAAGAUAUCCCCUCUAGGCAAAUCCCCUCUAGGCAAAGUUAGGAAAUGAUUUUCAUAAUAAUUUUAGAGGGGAAAAUGAUUUCCCCUCUAAGGCUCCUCCUGAGGGGGCUUAGAGGGGAUAUCUUCCUUCCUUGAUGAAAGAAGCCCCCACUUCCUUCUUAGUGAGAGUGUCUUUAUCAGGUAACCACUAGCACAACCACAUGCCUGCUAGAUGCCUUAAAUGAGAGAAACUGGCAAAGUGGGAGUGCUAAGUGCAAGCACUGAGCCCAUUGCAGCAGGGACUGUGCAGGGUUACAGGAGAGCAGAGGCCUUGUCUACAGUAGGGUGUGGGGAUGGGGAAUCAGCUCCAGCUGAAAAUGUAGAGACGUAAUCCUGACAGUUCCUAAUGAUUUUCAAGAGUAGCUGGAAAUGUGAAUUUGUUGUGACUUUUGACUUUUAAAUAUUGUGUAGAGUAAAUACAUGCUUGGAGGCUGCACCUGGCCUUCAGGCUGUCAUUUUGUAUACUCAAUCAGUCUUUUUCUGUGCUAGGUUUUUCUUUUUUUGCAAUGAAAUAACGAUUUUUAAAGAAGGCAUUUAAUCCAGGUAAUUCAAGGAUUGUUUUGCUUAAAUUAUAUGAAAUGCCAGUUUGAUCUUAUUACCUAAUUUGAUAGAUUUAGAUUCAGUGUGUCAGAGAGUGAAUGACAGAAGUAACACUUUUAAAAUAAAAUGAGAAAACCCAAAAGAACAAAUAUUCUUGACACCUAUGAUUAGGCAUUAUAGGGGACAUAGAAAAGUACUAAAUAGAUAAAAUAUAAAAUUUGUAAAGGGCUGGGUUAUAUAAUACAUCUCAAAUUAGAUAAUCUAGUCAUAUUCCACAGCCAAAAUAAAAAGUAGUCUCCAUAGUCUAAACUGAGCAAAAAUUAUCUAGUUCUGCGUUAGCUACUCAUAUAGGCUCAUCUGCCACCUCUACUGAAAUGAUUGAACAACCUAAAGUAUGCCACUGGUAUAAUUUUCUCAAUUUAACAAUAACCAUCUACAAUAUUAGGCACUACAAAAUAAAAAUAACCAAAUUAUGUACCCUUGCCCCAUAUGCUGCUUCAAUAAUGACAUUUGUCAUAUUAGGCCUUUUUUCUGUAUAGUAGCAUUUUUCCAUCUUUUAUUUGCAUUUGUAUUUGCAAAUAAAAAAUGAUAUAUAAAUAAAUGAUAAUUAGGAAAAUAUAAAGAAGCAGAGUCUGAACAGGUUCUGUAUAUUUUUUAAAGGCUGUGUAAGCCCUAGGUGACAACUCUGAGAAUCUUCUGGCUUUAUAAGCUGGUCAUUUUCCAUGUAAAAAAAAUUUUUAUUCUGAGACUUGUUUAAUAUACCAGAUCUGACUCCCUUUCCAAUUUCAGUUUGGAUGCACUGUGGCAAACGUUCUGAAUGUUAUAAAAUGAGAUAUCAAAUGAAAUACUAUUUAUGAACCACAAAAUCAUUUUAAAUAAAUGAAGUUUUAUUACUUGAGUACAUGUAUUAGAAACUGGUCUAUAACCCAAGCAGCGUUUACUAAAAAUUAAAUGAAGGCCAUUACAUAUAGUAAUAUAUCAUGAUAAUAAAUCCCUGAAUUAGGAUAUUAACUCUAAAUCUUUAAAUUAAAUCAGGACUAGUUACUCCUUUGUCCAAAUGGUCAAAAAGCUUGAUCUAAGGUGUUCACAUUAAUUAAAAAUUUUUGUAAGUUAAAUUAUGAUAUAGAUUGACAUUUUAAAAUAUAACUCUCCCAAUUUCAUAAAGAAGUUUAAAAAGGUUAAACGUCUUAAUGACUAUGCUGGGACUUCCUUUAUAAAUCCACUCUUGGGCAUGUGAUUAUGACAUGCCCAAGAGAGAGAUAGAUACAUUCUUUUGUCUUGCCCAUUGAAUAGACUCAAUAAUUAACAAAUUGGAUUGGAGUAGGUAGUUGCAAGUAUCAGCAUUUUUCAGCUUGAAACUUUUCUUACAUGUAGCCAACACUAUUAUUUGCCUACAUCAAUGUUACUUCCUCUUUUGUCCAUAUGUUCAGUCCCAGGGUUAAAAUCACAAUUGAUCUGAACCAACUGUGGCAAUUCACAUCCUCUUUGCCAGUGACAGGUCUGAGAAUGGACAUGGGAUUCAGUCCUGGCUAGUGAAACAUGAGGUGAAGCCUUCUGGGGUUUCUGGGCAAAUUUUUUCUUUCUCUUUAAUAAAAGGAGGAAAACAAUGACAAGUAAAAAGUAUAUUUUCUUUACAAUGUCUUUUCUACUUUGGAUAUGGUCCUAAAAGGACAGGAAGCUUGGAGCUACUCUGGCUGUUUUGUAACAAUAAGGUAGAAGGCCAAGAGAAUUAUGGAGAAACUGACCCAAUACCCUGAGAUGGUGGAACUGCUGAAACAAACUUUGAACCGCUACGUCCAGACUUCUUUUACAUGGAAAAAAAUAUAUAUUCCUUUAUUGUUUAAGCCACUGAUAGCUAGAUUGUUUGUUACUUCAGCUGAAUAUAUUUUUCCUUGAAUACCAUAUAAAUGCAGGGCCAGUAUUGUGCCAGAGCCAGCUUACACUGGCUUGUGAGAUGAUUGUGCCUAUCUGUUUCCAAUUCCACAUUCAGUGACUUUAAAUCAUCUGGGGUGAAUAGUCACACUCUGGAACCAGGCCAAAGAUACAUAUCCGAGCUGUUUUCACCAGAGAGCUGGUUGUUGAAAACAUUUAUCAGCAUCACACCACUAGGUGACUUACAUUAACUCCUACAGAUAAUGUCAUAGCAACUACUAUGCUACCUAUCAUCUUUUAAAGUGCAUUUUUAAUAGUAAAUGGGUAAUAAGUUAUAUCAAGACAUUUUUAAUUUGUGGAAUUUUAGAACCAGAGGACAGUUUAGUAAAUUUAAAAACCGAAAUCAAAUACUGGGUGAUUUUAAAACUAAUCUAACAUUAUAUAACUAGUUAAUAGCAGAGUUGAGUCUCGAAUUUGACUCUUUAUUCCCAUUUUGGUGAUUUUUCCAGUAUACCAUAUAGCCAUUAUAUUAUUUAUACAAUAAUAAUAAUAAUUCUUUGAGUGCCAACAUCUAUCUUCAAAUCAAAAUAGUAAGUUAGCAAGAUACUCAAUUUCCGUAUAAAUAGACUGGCCUAGUUUUGAUGAUGCAUAUAAUGUAACAUUUAAUUAUAUAUUGUAAGUUUUGGUCUAUUUAGCAAAGAUACAGACGUUGAAGAAGGCUGACAUAUGGAAACUUAGCAUGACAACCAUGCUUAGCCAACAACCUUCAAUUAUCAUGACUCACACUACUUCCAAUAAGUAACCGGAUGAUCAGAAUUGAGCUUGGAUUCCCCAACUACACCAGAGAUACUCGUACAGAGGGGAAACUGCUACCCACAUCCAUUUUCCAAAGGCUGAAGGACCGUCAGUUGAAGUCUGAGCUCCUCUGCUGAAUUGAAGGUAGACAAUCUUGAAAGAUAGAAACUGCAUUGUGAGAUGAAAUGAAUUUUUAAAGGAUCUAGACUAGACUCUUAGGACAAUGUGAGGCAAGAUUCUGACAACUUAGGUUUGAAAUAGCUAACCAUAUUUGCCAACAAUGAUCAGAUAUUAGAGACACACAAUUCUAGUUAGAGUUCUUAUGGGAGCUUCACAAUGAUAGUGAGAAUAAAAAUUGGUCAAUUUCUGGAAAGCAAUUAGACAAUGUACUGCAUAUCAAGAACCUUAAAAAUAAAGAUUUUGCAAAAUUUUUUAUGUUGAUUGUGGGAUGAUUUGUAUAAGGGAGUUCAUUAUAUUAGUCUCUAUUUUGGAGAACAGUUAAAUUUUUCACAAAAUUUGAAGAAAUAUUGAUAAUAUUUGGCUCAGGAAUUCUAAGUUUUUUUGUAAUUCAUUUUGUGAUUCAUUUUAACAAAAUAGUAUAGAUGAAAAGAUCAGUGAACAUUAUAGAGUGGUGAAAAUUGGAAACAAUCUAAAUUUCUAACAACAGGGAGAUGGAUGAAUAAAUUAUGAUAUAUCCAUACAAGGGAAUGCAAUAGAGUCAUUAAAAUAAUAUUUGGAAGGAUACUUAAUAAAAAGAGUACGUCAAAGUACAUCAAAUAAAACAAUAUGGAACAGUGUAGUCUGUAUGUGUGUAUAUAUGUGCGUGUUUAGAAGAUGAAGAAAAUGCAUUAAAAUCAAAAUAUUCUUCAUGAUUAUAUUAUUAUUCUAUUUUUCUGAGUUUUUCAAGUUUUUUAUAAUGAACAUAUAUAAGCUUUUUAAGUUAAAAAUAACUAUUUUCUUUUUUCUUAAUUAUACUUUAAGUUCUAGGGUACAUGUGCACAAGGUGCCGGUUUGUUACAUAUGUAUACAUGUGCCAUGUUGGUGUGCUGCAUCCAUUAACUCGUCAUUUACAUUAGGUGUAUCUCCUAAUGCUAUCCCCUCCCCCCUCCCCCCACCCCACAACAGGCCCCCAUGUGUGAUGUUCCCGUUCCUGUGUCCAUGUGUUCUCAUUGUUCAAUUCCCACCUAUGAGUGAGAACAUGUGGUGUUUGGUUUUUUGUCCUUGUGAUAGUUUGCUGAGAAUGAUGAUUUCCAGCUUCAUCCAUGUCCCUACAAAGGACAUGAACUCAUCAUUUUUUAUGACUGCAUAGUAUUCCAUGGUGUAUAUGUGCCACAUUUUCUUAAUCCAGUCUAUCGUUGUUGGACAUUUGGGUUGGUUCCAACUCUUUGCUAUUGUGAAUAUUGCCGCAAUAAACAUACGUAUGCAUGUGUCUUUAUAGCAGCAUGAUUUAUACUCCUUUGGGUAUAUCCCCAGUAACGGGAUGGCUGGGUCACAUGGUAUUUCUAGUUCUAAAUCCCUGAGGAAUCGCCACACUGGCUUCCACAAUGGUUGAACUAGUUUACAGUCCCACCAACAGUGUAAAAGUGUUCCUAUUUCUCCACAUCCUCUCCAGCACCUGUUGUUUCCUGACUUUUUAAUGAUCACCAUUCUAACUGGUGUGAGAUGGUAUCUCAUUGUGGUUUUGAUUUGCAUUUUUCCGAUGGCCAGUGAUGAUGAGCAUUUUUUGAUGUGUCUUUUGGCUGCAUAACUGUCUUCUUUUGAGAAGUGUCUGUUCAUAUCCUUUGCCCACUUGUUGAUGGGGUUGUUUGUUUUUUUCUUGUAAAUUUGUUUGAGUUCUUUGUAGAUUCUGGAUAUUAGCCCUUUGUCAGAUGAGUAGAUUGCAAAAACUUUCUCCCAUUCUGUAGGUUGCCUGUUCACUCUGAUGGUAGUUUCUUUUGCUGUGCAGAAGCUCUUUAGUUUAAUUAGAUCCCAUUUGUCAAUUUUGGCUUUUGUUGCCAUUGCUUUUGGUGUUUUAGACAUGAAGUCCUUGCCCAUGCUUAUGUCCUGAAUGGUAUUGCCUAGGUUUUCUUCUAGGGUUUUUAUGGUUUUAGGUCUAACAUGUAAGUCUUUAAUCCAUCUUGAAUUAAUUUUUGUAUAAGGUGUAAGGAAGGGAUCCAGUUUUAGCUUUCUCCAUAUGGCUAGCCAGUUUUCCCAGCACCAUUUAUUAAAUAGGGAAUCCUUUCCCCAUUUCUUGUUUUUGUCAGGUUUGUCAAAGAUCAGAUAGUUGUAGAUGUGUGCUAUUAUUUCUGAGGGCUCUGUCCUGUACCAUUGGUCUAUAUCUCUGUUUUGGUAUGAGUACCAUGCUGUUUUGGUUACUGUGUCCUUGUAGUAUAGUUUGAAGUCAGGUAGCGUGAUGCCUCCAGCUUUGUUCUUUUGGCUUAGGAUUGACUUGGCAAUGCGGGCUCUUUUUUGGUUCCAUAUGAACUUUAAAGUAGUUUUUUCCAAUUCUGUGAAGAAAGACAUUGGUAGCUUGAUGGAGAUGGCAUUGAAUCUAUAAAUUACCUUGGGCAGUGUGACCAUUUUCAUGAUAUUCAUUCUUCCUACCCAUGAGCAUGGAAUGUUCUUCCAUUUGUUUGUAUCCUCUUUUAUUUCAUACUGUACUACAAACGUAGACCAUAUACCUGCAGCCAUUGGAUCUUCAACAAACCUUCUUGCUUUGAAGGGCAGAUGGGGUCCUGGGUCAAAACUGAGUGAGUGUUCCAAGGUGAAUGGAAUGAUUUCCAAGCUAAGUGUAAUUCCAAGGUGGGUGGAAUGAUUUGGGAAAGGUGCUAAUGCUUCUUUGUAUUUGUAAUACCUACUAGAGUGCUUGGCAUUUGUAGAUAAUUAAAUUUGUUUGUUAAAAGCAUGUGUGAUUAUCUGAGGAUAUUAGGAGUGAGAAUGCAAGCCAGGUGUUUUGCAUGUUUUGCAUGUUAAAGCAGUUUCUGGGGUUUAUAAUAUGGUUUGAUUAUCCUGGCUGAAUGAAAACGUAAGAGAAAAUGUGAUUCAGAAUAUAAAUUACUCAGUUCUUUCUUAUCCCCCGUGGCAAGGCAUAUCCCCCAAGUUUGCUGAUUUGGAAAAUCCUUAUUUUUGCAAGGACUGAAUUCCCUUGCUUGCUAUUUAUCAGCAUUCUGCUGACAACUGUUGUUCCUUCUCUGUUCUUAGCCCCUUUUUUGUUUUUCUUGUUAAAAUAUCUAUUUAAAAAGUCAGUUCAGUAGCCCAACUAUUUCAAAAUCUCAUUUCAUCUCAUUUGUCAUUUAUUACUAGGCCUAUUUUCUCUUCAGUGUUUCUUAUCCCCCAGAUACAUUUGAGGAAACUCUUUUAAAUCCCUGGAACGAUUGCAUCACUAGUUCAUUUUACUGAAAAAAAAUUGACUCAAACUUUGAUCCCUAUAUAUUACUCCUACUUUUCAAUUUCAAGUAUUUUUUUCUUAUAAAUCUAGAACUUUGAAAAGUCCCUAGUGAGUCUAGUCUGAAUAAAACACACAGUUUUGAGAAAUUUAUCAGAUGAAUUAUAACGUAUUACUAUUUACCUCUAGGUUAUUUGAGGAUAGUCUGGUCUUUUUUUAAUCUAACAGUUUUCCAUACCUUCUAUCAUUAGGGUUCACAAAGAUGCAGCUUGUUUUGUAGAUAUUUCAUAUUUUUCCCUAAUUUUGACUUGCUUUUGGUUUCUUAAUUUUUAAAAAUAGGCUUAUCUGGAACCCAGUUUUAAUAAAUCUUGCCUUCUAAACAUGUCUUUUGGUAGUGUUCAAUGUCAAGGGCCAUUCUCCUUUUGCUUUUCAAUAUUCAUUAGGUGCUAUUGAAUAGCAGACCCAAGAAAAGAAAAAAAAUUGCCUUCAGAAGAAUAGUAGAAAGAACAUUAAGUUCAGAGUCAGGAGUCCACUCUUAAGCUUUCUGUCUCACAGUUUAUUUUACUUUUUUGGAUUCAGGCUUUGCCUAUCCCUCUUUCCCCAUCUAGAAUCAAUCAUCUCCCUUCUCUUCUUAUCUAAUACUGAGAAAAUGCAUAGGAAAUUUUGCAAAGCACUAUGAAUGCCUGUGAAAAAGGGCAUUAUGUAAAUGUGCACUAUUAUUAUGCUGGAAUUUUGCCAUUUCUCUGUAUGCAAAAGGAUAAGAUUUAGAAUAAUAUUAGCUCCUUUCAACCUCCAGUCCAAGGAUGUUCAGUUACCAAAUACUAGGAGAAUGGUAUUUUGAUUCUUAUUUGGUAGGCCACAGCAAAGCUUCAAGACACACUAGAUUUAUGCUAUUUUUUUUUAAUGAUGAUUAGUGUCAUUAUUAUGUUUACCCUCUUGGGAGAGGGAUAGCAAUGGAGGGAAUUGAGGGCAGGAUGUUCUGUUUUUGCUUAUUUUGCUUUGAUGAGGGAAAAGGCAGUGCAAGAGAGGGUCCUGACUGAGGUCUAAAUGGUCCAAAUAGCUCAGUUUAUAUGUGAAAGGGGGAAAAAGAUGGUAAAGAUGUUGCAUAAUACAAAUGAAAUUUGUAUAAAUACUGACACUAUUGUGAACCUCCAAAAUUUGAGACAGGUCUCAGUUAAUUUAGAAAGUUUAUUUUGUCAAAGUUGAGGACACGUGCUCAUGACACAGCCUCAGGAGGUCCUGACGACGUGUGCCCAAGGUGAUCAGAGCACAGUUUGGUUUAUACAUUUUAGGGAGACAUGAGAUAUCAUUCAACAUAUAUAAGAUAAACAUUGGUUCAAUCUGGAAAGGCAGGAUAACUUGAAGCAGGGAGGUGGCUUCUGGGUCAUAAGUAGAUAAGAGAUAAAUGGUUGUAUUCUUUCGAGUUUCUGAUUAGCCUCUCCAAAGGAGGCAAUCAGAUAUGCAUUUAUCUCAGUGAGCAGAGGGGUGACUUUGAAUAGAAUGGGAGACAGGCUUGCUCUAAGCAGUCCCAGCUUGACUUUUCUCUUUAGCUUAGUGAUUUUGGGGGACCAAGAUAUUUUCCUUUCAAAUUUCUCCCCUUUUUUUUUGUAAAAUCUUUUGGAGAAAGCAUUUUAGAAGAAAUUGAGCCUCUGGUCCCAUGUUUUGUCUGAUCUCUCAUGGCUAGGAUGAUUUGUUCCUAGACAGGUAAGCACCAAGUUAUUAGGAAAGUUUUGUUAGAAGGUUGUGAAGUCUCAUGUCCUAUGAAAAGAAAAUAGGGGGAGGAAGGGAGAAAAACAACAACCACAAAAAGAACAAUCCUGGAAAAUCUAUAUAGGCCACAUUACUCUGAAAUCCAAACAUUGGCAAACAGGCAUGAAAGUGGUUUAUGUAUGUAAAUAGGUUGCUGUUAUUUUCUUCUGAAGUUUAUUGUCUAGCUUAAGUUCUCAGGGCUUUAUGAAAGUGCAGCUUAGUUUUCAAUGACUCCAAAUUAGAAAAAAUGGGGGAAAAAGAGGGAAAAAAUGGAAAACAUUAUUUUGAAAACUUGUAGCCAAGAAAAAUUAGAAUUUGUCCAAACUGUAGAAAAUAAUAAAACUGAAAAACAUUAAGCAAGACUAGAAUCUAACAACAAAUAUAUUUUAGUUUUGAAACAUAAAUUUUCUCUCCCCAGUUUCCCAUUUUUAUUAAUGACAAGUCAUGAUAGGACUGAUAUGCUUUAUUUUACUUGGCCUAAUUAUUUGCAUACAGUGCAGCAAGAAUAAAUAUUUUUCACAUAGGCUUUUAAAAUGGCUUUGAUGGAACUCUGUUCCAUAGAAGGAAUCUCAGAUAAGACUUUUUUAUAGUUGAGCCCAGCCAUGGAUUUGUGCCAUCAAAUACCUAUGAGUCGGGCGAUCCUUUCCUCUUGAGGUCCCGAGAUAAACCUGGGGCUCCUGGGCCUGCCAGAAAGUGACAUUAUUUACUUAUCACAGAUCAGAAACCCUGUACAGGGAAGUUAUGAGGCCAGUUUCCCCAAAGGGCUUUAUUGGCUCCAUAAGUCAAGUUUGAUUCCUUAAAGGAAAGCACACCAUUCCAAUCAAAGCCUCAUUAAAAUAACAAGUUUCUCCAAUUGUGUCCUGUUGCAAAAUGAAAAGAUUCUUACUGCACUUAUGCAAAUAACUGUAUUGUGUAAGUUAAGAAUACUCACAAAUAGUUUCCAAAUUGUGGAGAAAUCAGGUAGAGAGAAACAAAUAUGCUCCAAAUUUUGUUCAUAGGAGUAUAUAAAAUUGUUAAAAGCUGUCAGUAGCUCAAAAGAAGUUUCCUUGACUCUGAAAAAAAACAAAGAUGAGCAAUGUUUAAAGCAAAUAGUCAAAAAUAUUACUUUAGUCUUCUAUCAGUUCAGUUUACAUAGUUAACUUCUGUUCUGCUUGAUAUUCAUGAACAUUUCAGCUCUCCAUGGGAGUCCUGAAAGUUUUUUUCCUCUAGUCUAAUGUCACAAUUUCCAAAGUUAUCAGAAAUCUGCAUUUAAGAACACCUGUUAGAGUUCUAUAGCUGAUUAUAAAACCACCUUCUAAGGAGGACCAAAACAAGACAACAAUUGUCCAUGGAUGACAAAAGGUUUUAGAGCAGCCAUAGUCAAAGACACGAGUGACAAGGAAAUUUGUUACCUCUGUGGCACACAAUAAUUUAACAUGACAAUUACAAUUAUUCCUGAUAAUGAACACUAAGUCAUAUCGGAAUUAUAGGAAUUUCCUGUGAUUUUGGAACACAUACCAAUAACAUAUUUGUACAAAUACAGCCUAAAGAAAACCAAACACCAUUUUAUAUUUGACAAUGUUUCCUAUAUAAUUUUUAUACCAAAUAAGCCAGACUAUGUCAUUUCUGGACUUUAGGGAACCUAAUACCUUAAAGGAUAAAUUUGGUUAGAAAAAGACAUAAUGUAUAAUUUGAUUUUGGAAAGUUUGUCAAAUAUCAAAGGUUUAAAACUCUUGAUAUCACAAAACAGGAUCAUUCAUUUGACCAAAGUGAUAACUCAAGGAUUUCAAAAAGGCAAAAACCUUCAUUCUUUGAGAGAGGAGACUUAAUGUUGCAAACCACAAGCCCUGAUAAAAACAGCAUGAAGCCAAUUAAAUGUGUUUUUCAAAAUUUUAUAAACAAUCUAUAAAGUUUUAAUCUUGACCAUAAGAUACAACUUCCAUAAGCCUUUUAUAACCUUUAUUAGGGAGUCAGUUAAUGCUUCAAGAAAACCUUGUUAAUUUGACACAGGGGCCCAUAUGCUGGUCUUGCAUCAGGGUGCCUUUAAUAUCAAUGACUAAUUUAUAGAGAAACUGAACUUAUGUUUCAAAAUCAGCCCUUUCAAUCUCAUGUGCCCACCUUUUCUGUGAUAGUCCCUGGGCCUUGAGUUGAAAUAGCUUUACUUUCUGGCCCUGUGUCUCAGGAAUGUUUAUUUUGAUUGACAUCUUCUGCAGGGCCUGAAGAUGGGGCUUUAAUUGCUUUCGGUGUUUAAAAUUUAGCAGGACUUGGUGUUCUUUUUAGAUCCAGGAGUCAAAGUCCUGUAACUUAGUGUCACAGGUACUUUAAAGUUGCAUCAGAGAGUUAGACAGAUGUAAUAACCUUAAUUUUAAAAAAAGUAAUCUGAGAAUUUUCCUAAGCAAACAAAACUUAAAUAAUAAUAUGACAACUUGAUCAUAUAAAAGAUUUUUUUAAAUAAAUCCUCUUACUGUGGCUUACACAGACCGUUCAUGAUAUGCUUGGACAUUCUGGUUUGUCCUGAACAUCCCUCUUUCUUAAACAACUAGUCAUUUUACUCUAGGACUAAAUUUACCAUACAAGAUCCUUUCUCAUAUGAAAUUGUUUCCCUUUAAGCUUUCUUACAAAAAAAAAUCUUUAUUUUUAUAACUUUCUUUAGUAAUCUCUUUUACUUCUUGGUUCCUUUUACCUUGUUUUAUACAUACCUUCAAGCUUUAAAUUAGACAAAAAUUGUUCACCAUUUUUUAAAAGGAUACACUUUUUUAAUGUUUUCCUACAAGUUUAUUUUUAUUGGAAAAUAUCCAAAUAAUGAAAUAUCUAUUAUUUAAUUUAAUAUAACCUUAGAUUCUAAAUUAUGAUGAGUUUGUCUACAAGUAUUUAUCCUAUUAUAUUUACCUAAUUAUUUUAUUUAUUUUAACAGUUUACCUAGAUUAUUUAUAAAAACUGCAAUUGUCAUUAUUUAAAGUUAUGGAGCUGCCAUUGCAAAAUUAUAACUGAGACAGUGAAAAAGAUUUGAUCUAACUGACUCCAUCUUACUUCUAACCUCCAAGCUGUCCUUGUUCAUUCCUGGGCAUAGGCCAAACUAACUUUGGGAGGAACUUAGUUUAUAGUUUAGCUUUGAAACAAAGACAAUAACAGUCCUUUCCCAAAACAGACCUUACUGCCUAUGGACUAGACCACCUAAAGCCACAAGAUGAGAAGUUAUAGUAAUCUCACUAAAUUCAAGAUGUAGCUAUUUUUACUAAACUAAUAUCAACAUCUUAUUUAUUAAAGAUUACACAAGCAAAGAUCAUUCUGUCUUGGGCUGGGUUUAUAGUUUUGUAAACCUUAUGCCAAAUUUUUACACCUUAUAGUAUCUGGUAGGGAUAAGUAUGAAAUUGUUUGAUUAAUAAUUGCAAACAAAAAUGUAUGCUGGUAAUUCUUAAGACAUUUCUAAUAUUACUUUACCAACAAUUUUAAAGCUAACUUAUUUAUUAAAGAUUUUACUUAAGUUAUGUAAACUUGAAAAACCAUUUGGCUAGUCUUUUUUUUCCUGAUAAAGUGUUUGAUUCAAGCACUUUUAUUUUCUUAAGCCAAUUAAUUAAAGCUCUUUUAUAUGUUUUUUGUAGUGAAAUAUUUUGUACAUAAAACAUAAAUAUAUAGACAUAUUAGGCAUGCCAAUAGAAAUACAUCUUAGAGAUUUAUAAAACUCUUUUUUUCUUAUCUUAGACUUUCAGAUUCUUGAUAACCUGUUUCACGACUCUAGGCAGUUGUCAGCUAAACAGCUUUAAAUUUGCAUAUUAAAGGAAACAACUCAGAUGAAAAUCAAAUAGCAAAAUUUACAUCAUAAAGUACAUAGAGAAAAAGUCUAGUGGUGCUAGAGGGAGAUUAAAGAUGGAUGCCAAAUCAAACGUAAAAUUGUGGAAAUCAAUCAUAGGAUUGUAUAAGGAGAUCAGUUUUAUUUAGAUAGGGACUACCUAACUUUUAACUGGAUCUCUGUGCUCUGGGAAGAGCCCACACUGAAUCCUGGGUUUCCAAAAAGUAAGAGUUAUUAUGAGAUUGGACCAGGUGAUGCUUUUACAGUACACUUAAUUUUUUUUAAACAAAGACAUUUCUAAGUGUCUAAACCACAGUCUUCCUUAAAAACCCAAGAGUAACCUCUGUUGCAAUAACUGUUUUAGUAAAAAUAUAAAACGGUAACACAAUACAAAAUUAAGGAAUUUAAGAGCUGAGACGAACUUGUCUGAUUACAUUCUUGGGGUUCCAUAAGGAAAAAAUGUUUCUCCCCCAAAGAGAGUCUGGUGUCUUCUUCAUUUUCUUUAAGGAACCCUAGGUUAUUAUAAUCUAUUUUAGGUUCUCCAUGCAGUAGAAGGUGCAAGAGAAGAGACAGCAGAAGUAAAUGAAGAAAACAGAAUUCAGUCAACUGAGAAGAAAAAUACUUUUGCUCAAAAAAAAAAAAAAAGACAAGGUCCUAGGAUAAAAGCAAAAACAAAAUCACGAAAGCCUGUUAAACACAAGCACACACAUAUGCACACAAACACACACAUAGGCACACACACACACACAUCUUGGAUGUUAGCUUUUAAUUAAGCUGACUUUUAACCACUGAGCUCCUUUAAAAAAAUCUUUUUAAAUCUCAUUACCAUAUUUCAGCUAGGAAAAAUUCUGCUAUUUCAGAAGUAUAGCCAAUGCUCUUUCAGUUUGGUCUGGCUAGCAAAAAGGUGGCCUUGUUGUUUAAAUAAAGACCCUUAGUAGUCAAAAUAAAAAAUAUUUUCUCUUUUUCUUUUUCCUUUUGCUGGCAAUUUUUCUCUCCCUACCACACCACCUUUUUGUGUGUAUGUGUGGAAAGUUAGCCACUUCAGAGGCCUUGUUCCCCAUAAUUUGGAACUUCCUUUGGAUUUAAUCAAGUCAGAUAGAGUUGAUCAAACCCAAUGAGAAAAAGACCGAAACAACAACAAAAACAGAAACAAACAACAUAAAACAGUUAAGCAAAACAAAAGAUCACACAACUUAUAUGAUUACUGAGUGCUCUAAUGGUAAGGAGAAAUUAAGACCAGCUGGUUGUUAACUUUAGCCAAGACAAAACCCCAAUUCAGCUACUUACCUAGAGAUGGGUCUCAGGCUGAAGAUGGCUGUCUACCAUCCUAGAAGUAGGAAAAAAACCCCUCAUCUGCCCUGUUGGAAGUGAGCUGAAACUCCAUAAAGGAGUAACUGCCUUCUAUCAUCAUGGAAGCAGGAAAACUUGUCUUCCUUGUUGGAAGCAAGUAGAACUUCAAAAAACAAAACAACAACAACAACAAAAAAACGGGGAGUUGUACAGCAAAAUAAACUUUAGGUCUUAACCAAAUUUUGGGAGAUCAGGGAUUCUCUGGAGGGGGUGCUCCCAUACCUCAGCAAAUUGUCCUGUUGGUUUGAGCCAUAAAGUUAGCUCAUGCUGGUACCAAGCACUGGUAGGAGAUUUCUCAAAGGUCAGGGGCACUUCCACUCAGAAUCCCUACGUGGUUACCAAAAUGUAAACCCCCAAAAUCUGAGACAGGUCUCAGUUAAUUUAGAAAUUUUAUUUUGCCAAGGUUGAGGAUGCAUGCCCAUGACACAGCCUCAGGAGGGUCUGAUGACAUGUCCCCAAGAUGGUCAGAGCACAGUUUGGUUUUAUACAUUUUAGGGAUAUAUGAGACAUCAAUCAAAAUAUGUAAGAUGAACAUUAGUUCAAUCUGGAAAAGCAGGACAACUCCAAGUGGGGAGGGGACUUCCGGGUCAUAGGUGGAUAAGAGACAAAUGGUUGCAUUCUUUUAGUUUCUGAUUAGCCUCUCCAAAGGAGGCAAUCAGAUAUGCAUUUAUCUCAGUGAGCAGAGGGGUGACUUUGAAUAGAAUAGGAGACAGGUUUGCCCUAAGCAGUUCCCAGCUUGACUUUUCCCUUUAGCUUAGUGAUUUUGAGAGCCCAAGAUAUUUUCUUUUCACACUAUGUAGAAUAUAAGGAUAUAUACUGCCUCCAGAGUCACUAAAAGGUACAAGGCAGUACUAAACACUCCCAGAUGUAAAAGAGUCAGCAUCCUUCACUGAGCAAUUUAAGGGUACAUGAAAGCCCAGUCAGCCCCAACAUACCUCCUGCUUCCUCAGUGCCAUAAUCGGCUGUCUCCACCAUCAGACCCACUUCACUAAAUUGCAUUUGCAGUUAAUUAUUCUAUUCAGAGCCCCUGCAUAAGACUAGGAGCUCCUGCAUAAGAGCUAGGUGCUUAUGAUUAAUGCAACCAGCAACUAACUUGCUGUAAGUAUUGAUUGAUUCUCAAACCUUGUAGAAAAGAUGACUUUUAGAUGAGAUCUUGAAGGAUGAGUAGAGGUCAAAAAGUCAAGUACCCUGUGCAGUUAACAUAAACAUAUGAAGUAGACUAGAUACAAUACAAUAGGAGCCUAGCUACUUUUGUUAACUGGGUAAGAGUAAUAUCUACCUCAUUACUUGCUACAGGCCCAAUGUAAUGGCCAAAAAAAAUGUAUCUAGGGUCAUAUAGAAAUCCUUGGAUACCAGCUUGAAAUCCCUAAUUUAAAUAGAUGGAGGAAGGAUAGUAAGGUAUUUCCAACUGAAGGAGUAAUAUGGAAAUAAAAAAAAAGUAACCAUGACUUGCAUGUUACUUAUGAGAACUCUAUUGGCUUUGAUUAAUUUAUAACAGGUAUUGGCAAUAUUUCAGAAGCAUGGGUACAAGAAAUUACCACUCUUCUUUUGAAGAGAUAGAGACUGGUAGGGUAAGAUCUCAUAACCUAAAGUGAGCAAAGGGCUUCAUUAUGGCUCAAGGUUCAGAAACAUUUCCCAUAAAUAUUUCGCCAUUAAUGUUAACAUAUUCUUCUUUAAAAUGCAGAUGUCAAUCAGAAAAAUUCAAAUCAUAUCACCUUGUAUAACCUAGCUGAGACUAACCCCAAAGAGGGAAUAGAAAAUUACAUGGGGGAGGGAAGAGGGGAAAUUUAGAGCUUAGGUCUUGGGUAGAAGUCAGAAUCGUAGGUGGAUGUGAGUGCUCUGGCAAGCUGAAGGCAGGUGAGGAAGCCUGCAGGUAGUGGGGGUGGAUACUGCAGGAGAGGGAGGAGGCAGUCUUUGCCUACUGUGCAGUUUUGCCUAGGGCAGCUAAUUGCUUGUGCCUAGAAAAUUGCCUCUGGAAGCCUUGGGCAAUAUGCGGUAGCUUUUCCCUGAUGCCUAGUUUAUCAGGUUAAGUUGAAAUUUUGUGGGGAGAAAGGGAAGAAUGAUGAGCUGAAAGAAUUCCUGAGCUGAAAGAAACCUGAAAGAUCACCAACUUUUUUCAACAAAGUAUCUCCAAUGAUAAGAGAGGGAACUUGAACCUCCAGGAAUCUGGGGACUUAGCCCAAAGUAACCCACUACAAGUGGGAAUAUCUUUGAAAUCUCUUGGUUUAUCUUAAAACUUUGCACAAAGUUUGUAUUGAUUCAACAUAACCAUGUUUGUUUUAAUAUAAUAAGGCUUUAAAUUACUACACCCAACCCACCAAUCUGUAAAUAAAACUGUCUAAGGCCCUACCCGUGAUAUGUCAAAUGGCUUGGUCAAGACAUUUAACUAGUAAGGGCAAAGAUAGAAUAAGAAUUCAGGGCCCGGUACGGUGGCUCACGCCUGUAAUCCUGCACUUUGGGAGGCUGAGGCGGGUGGAUCACCUGCAAUCAGGAGUUCGAGACCAGCCUGGCCAACAUGGCAAAACCCCAUCUCUACUAAAAAUACAAAAAUUAGCCAGUCAUGGUGGCAGGCGCCUGUAAUCCCAGCUACUCCAGAGGCUGAGACAGGAGAAUCACUUGAACCCAGGAGGCAGAGGUUGCAGUGAGCCCAGAUUGCGCCGUUGCACUCCAACCUGGGCAACAGAGCAAGACUGUCUCAAAAAAAAAAAAAAAAAAAAAAAAAAAAAGAAUUCAGGUCUCCUGACCACAAUGCCAUAUCUCAGUUAUGUACCAAUGGAGAUGAAUAACAGUGCAAGAUGGUGAGGACUGUGUCUGAGGAGAAGGGUAAAAAAGGGAAAGUGGAAGGGAUCUUCACUUUAUAAUUUUUCUUUAGGAUUAACUCUGGUGUGAAGAUUAUAUAAAGUAAGGGAAGGGAUCUAACAUUCAUUUCUAUGUGCCCACACUUUGUACUGGACACAUUAUCUUUAUUAUCUCUCUUAAUUUUCAUAGCAACUGUGGAAUAAGUUAUCACCAUGAUACAGUACAGGAUGAACAAAUUCUGAGAUUAACAAAUCUGCCUAUGGCUGCUCAACUGGUAAGAGGUAGAGUUAGGAUUUGAAUCCAGAAAUGUCUGACUAAGCCACACUGCCUCUUUUCCACAGACGUUUAUUAAACGUAUACUAUAUGCAAAGUACUAUGCUAGGUGCCUUAAGUGUAUAAAUAAAUAAAGAACUGAUUAGGGAUAUAAACAAGGAGCUCUGACUGUCUUGUUCCUGGAGUCUAUAGCCUAAAGAAGGAACUCUGUAAUUAAUUAGCUGGUCAUUUUUAUUUUUAUUUUAUUUUUUUUUUUUUUGAGACGGAGUCUCGCUUUGUUGCCCAGGCUGGAGUGCAGUGGCACAAUCUCACUGCAAGUGACACAAUCUCACUGCAAGCUCCGCCUCCCAGGUUCACGCCAUUCCCCGGCCUCAGCCUCCCAGGUAGCUGGGACUACAGGCGCCCGCCACCAUGCCUGGCUAAUUUUUUUUUUUUUUUUAUUUUUAGUAGAGACAGGGUUUCACCGUGUUAGCCAGGAUGGUCUCCAUCUUCUGACCUCGUGAUCCACCCACCUCGGCCUCCCAAAGUGCUGGAAUUACAGGCGUGAGCCACCGUGCCCGGCUGGUCAUCUUAGCUGUCUAUCUAAUGCCCCAAUCUGAUAAAGAAGUGAAUUAGAUCACUCACAACCACAAAAAUUAGAAGAUAUUUUCAGUGUUCAUUAAAUCUUUUUUAAAAAUCGGAGGAUGCACCACACAUGGCCAAACCCCUUUUUAUUAAUAUUUUAUAGCUUUGCAUGGCAUAUGGAACAAUGUUCCCAAAGAGUCCUAAGUUAUUAAUAGGUUCAGCAAAACCAAAACCAAAACCAAAAACCUGGUGUUAGCAAUAUUUUCUUCAAAAGUGCAUUAAAAAUAUAAGUGUAAGAAAAAUACUAAGUACAUUUCUCUUGUUCUUAUUAUGUAAGUCUGUCUUUAAGGAAUGGUGGGCAAUCUUAAGAGCAAAAGAAGUUGUAUAUGUUACCUGAAGGACAAAUGACUGGUGCUCAGUUUGUUAGUCAAUGCAGAGUCAGGUUUUACCAUUUUACCAACUUAUUCUAAACUUUAAUGUAUGUCAACUAUUCAGUGAUCUUCAGCCUUUCUUAUGCAUAUUUGUGAUGUAGAUAAAAUUUUGACUGUUUUAAGGCAGUUUCCUUGAAACUGUUUCUACUGUUUACUUUAAUCUAAAUGACUAUUAUAUUUCAUGGGUUCAUAUUGACCUUUCAUCACUACUUUAUAAUGCGUUUUGAGGGCAAACAGUUUUGGGAAAUACUGAUCUAGAAAUUAUUGCUGCCAAGUUGGUACCAGGUGUUGAUUGCCAGUUUCUCAAAAGAGAUACUAAUCUUCUUGAUUUAGCUUCCUACUUUUUGAACUUUUGUUACAUGUUAGAUGGAUAUGUGGUGUCCAAUGUACGUAUAUCUACAAUGUUAACAGCACAUAGAUUUAAUGCACAUAGAUGCACUUUUCUUAUGUACUUGAUAACAAGAAAUAUUUAACGAGAGUGUUUAAAGAAGUAAAUUUUAUGUUAUAUGUAUUUCAUUACAAUAAAAAAUGCAACAGGGUGAUACUGGUACAUAAGGAAGAACAUAAACUUAUGAAUUGCAAAACAUAAUAUUUUUGAUGUCAUAAUCAGAUAUAAGAAAAUAAAUAAUAAUCAUAUCUUAUCAGUAUGAGAAAAAACAUAACCAGGAGCUGGAGCUACAUGUCCCAGAGGAUAUAAAUAAGAAAUAAACUCAUGAGAAUAUUUACAUAGAAUUAAGUAAAGAGGUAGACCCCUAUUCUCUUUUUCUUUUUUUUUCUUUUUUUUUUUUUUGAGGUAGAGUCUCACUCUGUCUCCCAGGCUGGAGUGCAAUGGCACGGUCUUGGCUCACUGCAGCCCCCACCUCCUAGGUUCAAGUGAUUCUUGUGCCUUAGCCUCCUGAGUAGCUGGGACUACAGGCAUGUGCCACCAUGCUAAUUUUCAUAUUUUUAGUAGAGACGAGGUUUCACCAUGUUGUUUUGAACUCCUGACCUCAAGUGAUCCACCCACCUUGGCCUCCCAAAGUGCUGGGAUUACAGGCAUGAGCCACCACGCCUGGCCUAGUCCACAAUUUUUAAAAGGAAAUUGGUCAUUGAUGUGUUCUCAGUACUUGGUAUAGUGUCUGACAGAAUAGGUGUUCAAGAAAUAUUUUUUGAAUGAAUAAUAAGAUUAUUUCCGCACUGGAGCUCUUUCCCUAGUUGCCCAUUUAACCCGUUUACUUCCUAGAGCAGGUUACAUAACUUAUUCCCUUAGAACAUAGUGAGGCUAAACCAGAGUGAUUAUAAAACUCUUGAUAAUGCCACAUUAAAAAACAAAAUGUUGUAUGUAACAAAUAUAUCUGGGUAAAAAUGCUUUUAGGAAGCUUUGUUUAAAAAAUCAUUUAUGUAUCUUUAGUAGCAUAUUUGGUUGAACCAUAUGAAAUUGCCAUUUUUUCAUAGGUCAAAAAUGAGCAAUUUUAUAUGGUUUGGUCUUAGUUUAUCAGUUACUGGCUAGUGGGUGCCUCCAGUUUUUCAUGUUGGAAACAUUACAACUUGGAGAAAAUGUAAUUUAAUGUUCAUUAAAAUGAUUCUUUUUUGCUCCCAAAUGCCAGGGACUGAAAAGUGAUUUCAGAAAUCAGAACAAAUAUUAUAACACCUUCAUUAAAGUAUGUGAACCUGACACCUUUACUAGUAAAUUUUAUGGUUAAUCACAAAUCUCCUACCAGAGGCUGUGGAAUGACCAUCUGAAUAUAUUGUAAGAAGUCUUUUUUUUUUUUUUUUUUUUUUUGAGACGGAGUCUCACUCUGUCACCCAGGCUAGAGUGCAGUGGUGCAAUCUCACCUCACUGGAAGCUCUGCCUCCCUGGUUCACACCAUUCUCCUGCCUCAGCCUCCCGAGUAGCUGGGAUUACAGGUGCCCGCCACCACACCCGGCUAAUUUUUGUAUAUUUUUAGUAGAGACAGGGUUUCACCAUGUUAGCUGGGAUGGUCUCGAAUUCUGACCUCAGGUGAUCCACCCGCCUUAGCCUCCCAAAGUGCUGGGAUUACAGGUGUGAGCCACCGCACCUGGUCUGUAAGAAGUCUUAAUGGUCUUAAAUAUCGAUUGCCUUAACACACAGCAGUCCCUUUCUCUUCCGACGUUUAAAUAAGCCUUCCCAAUUAUGGUUAAAAAAAUGGUAAUGUCAUUUAUUUCAUAAUUAGAAGUGUAAUAAUAAAGUAGAUCUACAAAUUUGUUCUUAAAAAUAUUUCAAAUAAUGAUCAAAGGCAGGGAAAUUAAUUUUGAUCAUUUAUUAUUUUAAUAAUUUUAAGUCCCUAAAUGAUUACAAUCAAUUGAAGGCCCCCAGAGGUAGUAACCAUGGGCAAAGUCUGACACAGGAAAUAGAACUCUUUGCUUCUGACAUCAUACAUGACACCUUUAGCUACUUGUGAACACUGCCACAAGAGAGACCUCAGGGACACAACCUUCAAAGCUGAGAAGUGUAAGGGGGAGAAUUAGAGAGGUACAGACUAUCACCUCUAGCUUGUAACCAAUAUGCCCUCUUUAUUCUCCCAGUCUCAGUUUAGCAAGGGAGGAUUUAUACUGAGAUUAUACAAGAAUGCCCCAUUACCUAGACUUGCUAGUAGACCAUUCCAGCAUUAGUGGGAGGAGUGAGUGGGUGAUGCACUACAUUUUGGUCACUGUAAAGCCUUCCAGACAUUUUCUAUGCUUAUAUCUACCUAUACACUUUAAAAAAUCGUUCCAUAUGGGACAUCUUGCAUCAUAGCCUGCUAUUUAAAAAUUAAAUAUAUAUAUAAUGAACUUCUUUUUCAUUAUUAUUUUUAUACAACAUUCUUUUUAGAGCUUCUUAAAAUCGUAUUGUACAUGUGUUGCUCCACAAUUUAUCCACGAAUCCUCUAUUGUUGUUCACUAAGUUUUUUUAAGUUGCUUCCUCACUAUUAACAACAUUGCAGCUAAAUGUGAGCAUAAAUCCUUAAUUCUUUCUUAGGAUAAAAUCCUAGGAGUGGAAUUUUUUGGUUGACAAUGGAGGUUUUGAAUGAUUUCAUGCAGAAAACAUUUAGCUCACAAAAGCAGAGAGAUGGAUGAGAUCAGAGGCAGUAGGGUAGACUUUUUCAUUCUCCGGGAGCUUCUGAAGAGAGUCUAGUCUAUGCAGCUUCGAAAUAUGAAUUAGACGUUGGAAACCUUUUGUAUUUUCCACCUUAUACUUAAUUAUUUUAAACUAAGGCCAGAAAGAUAGGUAGGGUGAGGAAAUCUAAAAAUGGUUAACAUUUGCUGGGGUAUUAUGUGUCAGGCCGUGCUUCAAGCACUUUUCAUGUCUGUGAUUUCACUUUAGUCCUACCAUAACUCUAAGAAGUGGGUAAGGAAUGGACGGAGGCAAGAAAAACUAAACAACUUUCCCCAACGUCCCACAUCUAGUACUGUAUAUGGUAGAGCCCAGAGCUGUCUGUACUCUUAACACCUGUGCAUUGCUUCCUGCCAUCCAACACACUGGGCUGCGUAGGCGGAAAAAGUAGGAAAGCCUCAUAAUAGAAGAGGCUAUAGUGCACAUGAUAUCUUUCUAAAAUCUUCUACUUUCCUCUUUUUUAAAAGUUUUCUUUUUCUACCAAUGCCACAUUCUCUCUUGCUAGUAAAUACAAUGACUAUAUAACCUUAAGUAUUUUACAGUUUGCCACCAAUUAUUAAUGUCACUGAAAGUUUAUCUAUAUUAAUUAGAAGCUGCCACAUCAACUGUUGCUACAGUUAAAUUAAUUCUGAUAGUUGGUAUGAGUAAAUAAUUAUUUUUAUGUGAUUGUACUUGGUAAGGACAUUUCUGAAUUCUCACUGGAUAAAUUCUUUAUAUUUUGAUUAGUCUUAAAGUCAAUCAGACACCACAGACACAACAGGGAAGAUUGUGGAACUGUCCUUUCUAGGAAGUAAUGCUGCAUAGGAUUAAAAAAAAAUUUGGUGGGGGGUACAUAGUAGGUAUCUAUAUCUAUGGGGUAUAUGAGAUUUUGAUGCAGGCAUAUAAUGCUUAAUAAUCACAUCAGGGUAAAUGGGUUAUGCAUCACCUCAAGCAUUUACAAACAAUCCAAUUGUAUUCUUUUAGUUAUUUUGAAACGUACAAUAAAUUAAUGUUAACUGUAGUUGCCUUGUUGUGCUGUAAAAUACUAGAUCUUAUUUUAUCUGACUAUAUGUUUGUACACAUUGACUAUCCCCAUUCCUGUCUGCACUGCCUGCCCCACUCCCCUUCCCAGCCUCUGUAAACAUCAUUUUACUAUUUCCAUAAGUUCAAUUGUUUUAAUUUUUUUUAGCUUCCACAAAUAAGUGAGAACAUGUGAAGUUAGUCUUUCUGUGCCUGGCUUAUUUCACUUAACAUAAUGACUUCCAGUUCCAUUCAUGUAAUGUUGCAAAUGACAGGAUCUCAUUCUUUUUUAUGACUGAAUAGUACUCCAUUGUGUAUAUGUACCACAUUUUCUUUAUCUAUUAGUCUGUUCAUGGACACUCGGAUUGCUUGCAAAUCUUGACUAUUGUAAAUAGUGCUGCAGUAAAUAUGGGAGUACAGAUAUCUCUUCAAUAGAAUGAUUUCCUUUCUUUUGGGCCCAUACCUUAUAGUAUGAUUGCUGGAUUAUAUGAUAGUUCUAUUUUUAUUUUUUGGGAGAAUCUUCAAACUAUUCUCCAUAGUGAUUGUACUAAUUUACAUUCCCACCAACAGGAUACUAGGGUUUCUUUUUCUCCGCACACUUGCCAGCAUGUGUUAUGGCCUAUUUUUGGAUAAAAGCCAUUUAAACUGUGAGACGAUGUCACAUUAUAGUUUUGCUUUUCAUUUCUCUGAUGAUCAAUGAUAUAAAGCACAUUUUCAUAUACCGGUUUGCCAUUUGUAUAUCUUCUUUUGAGAAAUGUCUAUUCAGAUUAUAUUACUCGGGGUUCCCUAGAGGGGCAGAACUAAUAGGAUAUCUAUAUGGUAGUUUAUUAAGUAUUAACUUACACGAUCACAAGGUCCCACUGUGGGCUGUCUGCAAGCUUGAGGAGCAAGGAGAGCCAGUCCAAGUCUCAAAACUGAAGAAUUUGAAUGUCCGAUGUUUGAGGGCAGGAAGCAUCCAGCAUGGCAGAAAGAUGAAGGGUGGGAGGCUAGGCCAGUCUCGCCUUUUCACGUUUUUCUGCCUGCUUUAUAUUCGCUGACAGCUGAUGAGAUAGUGCCCACCAGUUAAGAGUGGGUCUGCCUUCCCCAGCCAACUGACUCAAAUGUUAAUCUCCUUUGACAACACCCUCACAGACACACCCAGGAUUAAUAUUUUGCAUCCUUCAAUCCAAUCAGGUUGACGCUCAGUAUUGGCCAUCACACAGAUCUUUUGCCCGUUUUAAAAUCAGAUUAUUAUAUAUUUUUUUCCUAUAGAGUUGUUUAUAUAGUCUGGUUAUUAAUCCCUUCUCAGAUGCAUAGUUUGCAAAUAUUUUCUCCCAUUCCUUGGAUUGUCUCUUCACUUCCUUGAUUGUUUCCUUUGCUAUGAAGAAGCUUUUUAACUUGAUGUGAUCUCAUUUGUCCAUUUUUUUCAUUGGUUGCCUGUGCUUGUGUGGUAUCACUCAAGAAAUCUUUGCCCAGUCCAAUAUCCUGAAGAGUUUCCCCAAUGUUUUCUUUUAGUAGUUUAUAGUUUCAAGUCUUAGAUUCAAGUUUUUAAUCCAUUUUUAUUUGAUUUUUGUAUAUGGCAAGAGAUAGGUAUCCAGUUUAAUUGUCUGCAUGAGGAUAUCCAGUUUUCCCAGCACCAUUUAUUGAAGACACUGUCCUUUCCCCGAUGUAUAUUCUUAGCACCUUUGUUGAAAAUGGGUUCACUGUUGAUGUGUGGAUUUGUUUUUUAGUUCUCCAUUCUGUUCCAUUGGUCUCUAUGUCUGUUUUUAUGCCAGUACCAUGCUGUUUUGGUUACUAUAGAUUCAUAGUAUAAUUUGAAGUCAGAUUAUGUGAUUCCUCCAGUUUUGUUCUUUUUGCUCGGGAUAGCUUUGGUUAUCCUGGGUCUUUUGUGGUUCCAUACAAAUUUUACGAUUAUUUUUUCUAUUUCUGUAAAGAAUGUCAUUGGUAUUUUGAUAGGGAUUGUAUUGAAUCUGUAGAUUGCUUUGAGUGGUAUGGACAUUUUAACAAUAUUGGUUCUUCCAAUUUAUGAACAUGGAAUAUCUUUCCGAGUUUUGGUGUCCUCUUCAAUUUCUUUCAUCAAUAUUUUUGUAGUUUUUAUUGUAGAAAUCUUUCACUUCUUUGGUUUAGUUUAUUCCUAGGUAUUUUAUUUUAUUUUAUUUAUAGGUAUUGUUAAUGGGAUUACUUUCUUGAAUUCCUUUUCAGAUUGUCCACUAUUGGCAUAUAAAAAUGUUACUGAUUUUUACAUUUUGAUUUUGUAUCCUUCAACUUUACUGAAUUUGUUUCUGAAUUCUAAUAGUUUAUUGGUGGAGUCUUUACAAAUAUAGGUUUUUUACAAAUACAAGAUCAUAUCAUAUGCAAACAAGGAUAAUUCGACUUCUUCCUUUCCAAUUUGGAUGCCUUUUAUUUCUCUCGUCUGAUUGCUGUAGCUAGGACUUCCAGUACUAUGUUGAAUAACAGUGGUGAAAGUAGGCAUCUUUGUCUGUUCCACAUCUUAGAGGAAAGGCUUUCAGUUUUCCCUCAUUCAGUAUUAUAGUUGCUGUGGGUCUAUCAUAGAUGGCUUUUAUUAUGUUGAGGUGUGUUCCUUCAAUAGCCAGUUUUUUAGGGUUUUAAAAAUCAAGAAGAGAUGUUAAAUUUUUUCAAAUGCUUUUAAGCAUCAAUUGAAAUGAUCAUAUGGUUUUUGUGCUUCACUCUUGAUAUGAUGUAUCACAUUGAUUGAUUUGCAUAUGUUGAACCAUCCUUGCAUCCCUGGGAUAAAUCCCACUGCAUAGGUUUUGAUUUUUUAUUUCCGCAUAGUACAUAAAAAUGUUUAAUCUUAAUAAAUACCUAACCAUGUCCAAGUCUUCAUAUUCUAUAGAAAACACCCCCAUAACACUGUCUCUACCUUUAAAAUGGCUGAAGAUAAGCACACAUUCAAAUUGAAGAGUUACUCAAAACACGCUUGAAUAAAUGAAGUUUAUAUUUGUACACUGAUCAACUGGAACAGAUGUCUUUCUUUUCUCCAUUGCUACUUCUGCCCUCCUUCUUCAAAAUUCUCAACUCCUUUUAAGUUCCAGUGAAUAUAGCACAGUAGUUAAAUGCAUAGAUUCUGGAGCUAGACUACCCAGGUUCCAAUCUCAGCUCUGCCAUUUGCUACCUGUGUGACCACGGGAGAGUUUCUUAGCCUCUCUCUGUUCCUUAGUUUCUUUAUCUCAAUUGCCAAGCUUAUAUCUCCACAUUUGACUACUCCUCAGACCUGUAGAUUUGUACCUAAUUGGUAUCUCAACGUGGUGGCCUAACAGGUCUCUUAAACUUAACAUCACCCCAUAGAGCCUGUCUCAUUCCUGUCACAUAAAUGGCAACAUCACACUCCUUUUGCUCAAAUGAAAAAUGUAGGAGUUGUCUUUGAUUCUUCUUUUUCUCACUCCCUCACUCAAUCCAUCAGUGAAUCUUAUCCCUUUUACCUCUAAAACAAAUCUCAAAUCUGCCCACUCCCACCAGCACUGCCCUAUAUAAGCCACGUCCUCUAAUGUCUGGGCUCCUGCAAUGGUUGCUUUGCUGGUCUCUGUUCUUUCACCUUUGUCUAAAAUCCAGUAUCCCUGCAGCCAGAAUGAUUUUUUGUAAAGCAUUAAUUUUAUUAGUCAUUCUCUUACUCCAGAUGCCCCAAUGACAUCUCAUCACAUUUAGAAUAAAAGCAAAACUCCUUAAUCUGGCCUUCAAAGUCCUACAAAAUUGGGUGCUGCAGUGGGUUGAAUAGUAUCUUACCAAAAUUCAUGUCCUCAGAAGGUAGGAAUACAAUUUUACAGAUGUAAUUAAGAUGAAGCCAUAUUGGAUUAGAUGCACCUAAAUCAAAUGAGUGGUGUCCUUAUAAGGAGAGGAGAGAACACACAGAGACGGGAAAUACAGAAAAGGCCAUGUGAAGGGGAAGGCAAUGAUUUGAGUGAUGAAGCUAUAAGGUAAGGAACACCAAAGAUUGCAAAGAGUCACCAGAAGCUAGGAAAAGACAAAUAUUCUUCCCUAGAGCUUAUAGCAUUUGGAGGCAGUGGAACCUGCUGACACCUUGAUUUCAGACUUCUAGUCUCCAGAACUGUGAGAGAAUUUACUUACAUUGUUUUAAGCCACCAAGUCUGUGGUAUUUUGUUACAACAGCUUCAAGAAACAAACACAGGUGCAUUUAUAACACUCCAGCUUCAACUCUAUUCAACUCUGCCCUCCCCUUGCUCUCUACCCUCCAGUCACCCUGUUCUCUCUCUGUCCCUGGUGUUGGAACACCAAUCUUGUUCUCAUCUUAGGACUUUUGUACUAGCUGUUCCCUCUAUUUGGCAAACUCAUUUCUGGAUCUUUUCAUGGAUCCUUCCUGUUAUUCACGUCUAGCCUAAAGUCACUUGUUCAGAGAGACUUCUCAAACACCCAUUCAAAAGUAGCCUCCCAAACACUGUCUUUCACAUCACCCUAUUUCAGUUUUCUGCUUUGCACUUGCUACAAUCUGGCGUUUCUUAUUCAUUUACAUAUUUAUGGAGUCUGUUGCCGUUCCCUCAAUAUACACAUGCACACACACCACAUACUUGUGCAUUCACUGCACCUACACUGUCCAAAAGGGUAGCCACUAGCCACAUAUGGUGAUUUAAAUAGAAAUUUAAAUUAAUUAAAAUUAAAUAAACAUUUAAACUACAGUUUCCAAGCUGCAAUAGCCACAAUUUCAAGUGCUCAUAGCUGCUUGUGGCUAGUGACUACCAUAAUGAACAGCAUAGAUGUAGAACAUUUUCAUGCAUUGCAUUAAAUCCUACUAUUCAUUGCUGCUCUAGAAUAUAAGCUCCAGAGAAAGAGGAAUUUUAUAUCCUCAGUCUGAAUUUGUUUGAUACAUAAUAGAUGCCAAAUAAAUAUUUCUUGAAUCAAGAAUGAAUGAGCUUUCAAGAAAAAAAUUGAGCAUUAAUGUGAAUAAACUUUGUAAAAGCAAUGACCAUUUCUGCUACUGAAAAGAAAUAUGGCUUUCGGGGAAACUGACUUCUGUUCAUCUGGGCAGAGUUUCUGGAACCACAUUUGUCAUUGAUUAUUCUUUUUGUUUGUUUAUUCAAUAAACACUCAAAAAUGGAUCUGGUUGUAAAGAGGAUUUCAACAAAUUCUCUCAUCUUGAGUGAUAGCUUUUUUGGCUUAUAAGUAAAAAGUUUUAGCAAGGAUCUUCUGAGAAGUGGGAGGAGGGCAGGUAGGGGUGUGGGUUGAAUAUUAUCUUCUGUGCAGCAUAGCAUUUUCUCUAGAUGUCUAAAGAGACAGUGUUAUCAAUCUCACAUCUUUAGUAAUCAUUUCUCUGUGCUUUGAUUAAUGUGGGUGUAAAAUGUGUCUGAUGUAGCAAGCAUGUGUCUGAAACAUUCUGAGACAAGAAGAGUAAAAAGUAUUUUAAUUUAAAAAACGAACUUUAAAUAUGCUAAAAGGCAUAAGAUUAUUUAAUAUAACAGAUAAAAUGCUAUAUUACUGCAUUGGAAUAAAAAUCAUGGAAAUAUGUCUUUGUCAGACUUGAAGAGCAAAUAGAGCCAUAUGUUUAAAAACCAUUAAAUGUUGGCCAUAAGUGCCCUGCUCUGCUUUCAAAUCAUCACAAUGAGGUUAAGAUUAAAACUUGUGAGUUUCUGAUACUGUGCCUAGUAUAUGAAAAAAAGUCAAUCUUGGUUUCUCUUCUUUAUCUCAUUCCUCUAUUUUAAUACUCUGAUAUAUGUCAACAUUCUUACCAGGAAGUUCAUUGAUUGGUUAAUGAAAAAUUAUUGUUGAUUAGUGAGAAUUAUUGUCUUAAGAGAACCUUUGACUGAAAAGCUAGGGACUCACAAGUCAUCUGAAGACCAAUUCCAAAUGGUUAAACUUGAAUAAUAUUUAGUAAAACUUACCCAUAUCCUAUUACAAUAUUGACUGACCACAGAGGGGGAUUAAGGCAUUGUUGAGCUGCAGUAAUCAUAACUUGGUCUGAAACCCUGUAUAGAUUCUCCAUGUGCUAUUACAUAAUUAAAGUAUAACAUUUCCACGUAAUAAACUUUAUGGCUUUAGAAGCAUUGCUAAUGUUUUUACAUGCAAUUAAAAUGGAGGAAAAUAUAAGGAACUAGGUAGAAUAAGACCUCUUUGCUAUAAAACUGAAUAAAGAGGGGGAGUUUGUGUGUGUGUGCAUGUGCGUGUGUGUGUGUGUGUGAAAGAAUGCACAUGAGAGAGACAGAGAGGCAGGCAGAGACAGAGAGAAGCAGAGAGAGAGAAGGAGAGGAGAGAGGAAUAAAAAAUUAGAAAUGAGGGGAGUAUACCUGAUUUCAGAAAUCAAAAAAAUAGAAUAUUGAAAGUGUUCAGAAAGCUUGAUUCAGACUCUAGAUGAUUUUCUCUAACUAUUCAACACGGAGAGAUAUCUCAGCAUUUCUGUGCUGUGUUCAGUGGUCAGAGGCCCAUGGCUGAUGAUAAAGAUGCUCUGGUAGAAAUGAGUUAUCUCAUUCCCACUGGGGUUCUGGUAAGAGGCAAGAAAGGAGCAAUGAUUCUUAGAUGAACAGUGCCUUGGUUAAAGUGACCCAAUUUCAGAUCCACCAAUGUAGAAAAGAGACAAGUCCUUUAGCCAUGGACAAAACAAUGAGGAAAUAAGAGUCUCUUAUUUGGGGGUUCCCUGCACAGUCCACCUUUUCCAGAAAGUAACUGUCUCAUCAGUAUUUCUCCAGAUAAGUGACCACAGUUUCCCUUGUUUUGUGUGUUUUUUUUUCUGACAUGAAUGAGAGAAGAUAUACAGUGAGGAGAGCAGAGCCAGGGAGGAAGGGACGGGAAAAAGAAGGGAAAGACAAAAUAUGGCAGUAAAGUCCAUUUGUGAAUAUUCCAGAUAGGGUUGGAAAUCAAGAUCCCCCAUGACCCUGUUUAUAUAAGGAAAUCUGGUUUACAUAAUGAAGCAUAACUUAUAAAAUGUGCUCUCCAUAAAAAAAUCAAAUGUCAGCCCCUCCUGUGUGUAGUUUAAAGAACUCCCUUCCUUUCUCCUUUGAAAAAUUGAAGUGGGUGUGGAUAAAAAAGGACUGGUUUUUGGCAAGGGAUGAGAUUUGGGGUAGAAGUAUAUAGAAAGGGAGAAAAUUGAGACGAUAAAUGCUUCUGCUGGGGGUGUUUUCCAGGAGUUUCCUUAGAUGUGUGAGGCAGUUGCAGAAUUGAGUUUGGGCCUUGAGUUGGCCCCAUGCUCCUCUCCUAAAUUUGAAAAUUGGUUGAGUUCUAUUGAGCAGAGAUUGCAGACCAUGGAGCCCACUUUAUCUCCACUUUGCUUCCUCCUAUUUACUGCUCUUCCCUUCCUUCCCAACUCCAUUCAGCAGGUGUGCAGAGAGGGGAUUUGCUGUGGCAGCUCUCAUCUUGAUUCUUUCUGUCUUUGACUCCAGCUUCUUAUCCCAUGGAAGGCUGAGGAUCCUACAGGACUCCUAACCUUAUUCUAUCUCUGCUAGGCCCUCACUGUGCCUAGAAAUUGAAGGAAGGAAAAGAACUAAUGGCAUUUAUUUUCCUGAUUCUGUUUUAAAUUAACCCUGAAUCAGAAGGUUAGGAAGACAGUGAAUAAAUGAAGUUUGGGCAAAUAAACAACUGUUCUGUUUUUGAGAAAAUUUUGCAUGACAAUCUUCAAAUUGGGUAAGUAGGAUUAGCACUUUAUAUUGCAUUAAGCCAUCUGUCAUUGUAGGUUCAGUAAAUCAAAUAGCGGACCUAAAAUCUCUAAGUGAUAUGUUAUUCCACAAAUGAUAAGAGCAAUAUUUGUAACUUAAGUGUUGCGGAAAGUAGAAAUAUGGGGUCAGAAGAGCCAAAAUCCUGAUGAUCUAGCUGCUGUACCUUAAAAUGUAGUUAUAUUGCCACUACAAAACCAAUAUCCCUUAAAUUUCUUUUUAUCACAUCAGCUCCCUACUCUAGAUAUUUCACCCUCUCCCUAUUUACAAUCAUUUUUUUGUCUUCCUACACAUUUUCUUCUAAACUGACAUUCUUCCAAAUUUUUAAUUGGUCUUGUAAAGUCCACCUCUAGUUUCCCACCUUCCAUCUAUAAGCUCUGUUCCCGUAAAAGCAUAUGCCUGUAAGGACACUGUGAUCAGCUUUUUAUGCUUCUUGCCUUGUUUGCAUCAGAUCUCUUUCCUCUGGAGUGUGCUUCUUUCUCUCCAACUUGACCUGCUCCACAAUAGCUCAACAUCUUGGCUGAAAUCCUCUAAACUUCAACACAGCCAUCUCUGAAUGUAGCUUAAUUGAUAUUUCUCUCCUCCAACCUUCUGUAGCUCUGAAAAGACUACAUAGCCUAGCUUUUAAUUAUAUACACUUGACCAUUCUUAAAUAACAUGUGAAAGAGCCUUACAAUCUAAAAAGCAUAACAAGUUCUGGCAUGUAGUGUCACCCAGUACAUUUUUAUUCAUUCAUUUGUUCUUUAUUGUUAUUGCAUAUGGUUUGCUUUCUUCCCAAGAAGGGUGGCAGCUAAUUGAAGAAAGUGACCAUUUUGUUUCCUCUCCUAUGUGUCCCCAUCAGGGUCUGGCCCCCUGGAGAGCACUCAGUAGAUAAUCAAUAAGUACUUACUGACUGAAUGAUUGAUUGACUAAUGCACUUUGCUUUUGGAUUCCAAGUGCAGAAGCCCUUUAAGAUGGCCUGGUUUUCUUCCAAAUGAUUUGAAAUUGACCUCUACUACACAAUAGAAAGUUCACUGAUCUUUUGCAGAUGAGAAAGUUGAAAUAAAAAGAGGAUUAAAAUACUCUCAAACUCAAGCAGAAGAUUAGAGAUAGCUACAGCCUAGAAUUAGAAGCCAAGCACAUCCUGAUGCCAGUCCAUUGAAUUCAGAGUCAUUGAACCGUGCUUUGUUUUCUGACAUAGGUAGCUUUUGUCCACCUGUUAAUCUUUAAUGUGUAAGUUAUUAUAUAAUACAUUGCUAUGUGAAUCUACCUCUUUUUCUUGUUUGUUUCAUUUUAUUUUUUUAGUGACUCUUAAUAGGUAAAAAAUGUAUCUAAUUAUCCUUCAUGAUGUUGCUUUUUGUUUCUUAGUUGGCCUUUAAGGUCAGGAACUAUGCCUUAAGCGCCCUCACACUUCUUGUGUAUGGCACAGUACCUGGCAAAUAAUAGAUGUUUAAUAAAUACCUGUUGAGCAAAUGAAUGUUAUCGGAUGAAAUCAUCUUUUUAGAGUACUGAACAAUUAACAUGCCUAAAUCCUCUUUAGAGUAUCAAAGAGAGUCAAACAUCUAAACUGUCUUAUUUAAUUCAUAGCAACCUAUUCUUAAUGCUGAAUCAUAAUUCCCUUGCUUAGUUAUUGUCCUUUAGGGGUAAAAUAAGAAACUGAACCCUUACAGCAUCAUUCUGGAUUUGAUUCCUAACUAUAGGCUGAAGUAGGCUUUAAUUUCCACAGGUAAGAGUAUAACAUUUACAUAUUUAAGGAAAGAAAGUAACUUCUCCCAACUGAAAUAAGAGGUAAUUUAAGGAGACAGAAUUAUUGGUCCCAAGUUAGCAAAAAACAUUUUAAACCUGACUCAUCUGUGCCUUAUGGAUUUCGUAACUGAUGAUUAGCUUCUCUUAAUCAGUUGAACAUCCAUUUAAAGGACAAAUUGAUUAGCUCCUUGCAUAAUUAAAAGAACAUUAAGUGCCAUCACUUGGAGUUUAAAAAAUUGUUUUGAUUAACAGCAAAUAUGCACAGUUUAACAUUAAGAUAUUAAAUGGUGUUAUCUCAAAUUAUUAUUAAUUUGUUAUUUUUCAAAAUGUUAAGGAGGUGUUUGCAGCUAGCUUAGUGACCAAUAUUUGCAAUUCCCCAAAAAAUGCAAUUUUCAUUUUUUUCUGGCUGGCAUUAAAUUUAAUAUGCUUUUUCCACAAAGCAUGAGAGCAUAAUAUAACCUAUAAAUAAUAACCAAUGUUACAUUGUAAUCAAACAAUCAAAUUUACUAAUUCUUUAUUUAGUGAAAGAGUAAAUAGCAUGGUGCUGAGGUACAGAACAAGGAAAAUAAUUAAAUAUUAAAUGUUUACAAAUCUUUUCAAAAACAAUUGGUAAGAGUUAGAGGAGGUUUAGCAAGAAUGUUAAAAUGGAGAAAAUGGCUAUUAAAGGCAUCAGGAGCCAUACAGGACAAGAUUCACAAGCCAGUACAACUUACAGAAUUGAACAAUGUGUAAAAAUAAAAGAGUAGAAGUGAACAAGACAUUAGAGAAAUGAAGGAUGGAAAAGACUCUUCCUGCUGAAUCCAGGUACAAGGAGACAUUCAGGUGGGGGAAGAAUGACUGGGAGAUGGAUUUUCCAAUCCACAGGGGGUCAGUAAAGUUGUUUAAAGAUGUUCUAUGUCAGUAGUCCAUAGAAAAUUGCAUAAAAUUACACAAACACGUAAUUAAAGCUAAACAUUCAGAAUGUUAGGCAGCACCAUUCUGAGCCAGAUGGUACUUGAUUCUGACUAUACUUUCGGCACUGAGGACCUAAUUAGUCUUUGCAAAAAGGUGUGCAGGUGUCAGUCAAUUCUGAAGUUAGCGCUGAGCAGAACAGAUUAAUGGAUACAUUGGAAUAUUUGAAAUUGAUGAGGCCUGAGGUAAGUUUCAAACACUUAUUUGCAGAAGCUUAGGAGCUUAGAGAACAUGUAAGACAUUUGAUUUAGGUCUGUUUCUGAAAGUCUACAAGUAUGGGCUGUAUGUUUAUCUUUUUCUUUCUUCAUCUCAAAUCACCAGUCCCAGUAAGGAUUAGUUUAAAAGAAGACUGUUAUGUAUGCUCUAAUACUGAACUAUUACUCUAAAAUGAUCAUGUUUUUAUUUAUUUAUUUAUUUAUUUUUUGAGACGGAGUCUUGCUCUGUCGCCCAGGUUGGAGUGCAGUGGUGCGAUCUUGGCUCACCGCAACCUCCGCCUCCUAGGUUCAAGCAAUUCUCCUGCCUCAGCCUCCUGAGUAGCUGGGAUUACAGGAGUGCACCGCCAUGCCCAGGUAAUGUUUGUAUUUUUUAGUAGAGACAGGAUUUCACCAGAUUGGCCAGGCUGGUCCCGAACUCCUGACCUCAGGUGAUUCAACCGCCUCAGCCUCCCAAAGUGCUAGGAUUACAGGCGUGAGCCACUGUGCCUGGCUGAUUAUGUUAUUUUAAUAUCAUUAUGUUUUACCCACUCAUUAAGAGAUGUUUGGGCUUGACAAUGUAAACCUAACCUGAAUGGUAGCAGAGACCACAUAAUUCCUGAGAAACAGUCAAAUAACUUGAGUUCCACUAGACUACCUUCUCAAACAUUAGUGUUCAUAAGUUUUCCCUGGCUAACAAAUUGAAAAUACAGAUUCCAAUGGUUAUCGUCAGUGACUCUGGUUCAAUAAGUUUGGGAUGGGAACUGAGAAUCUGUACUUUUAACAAAUACUGAUAGGCAACCCAUAAACUAUCCUUUGCAAAUCACAUACAAGCCAAGAGUUCCUUGAGGGUAAGGACAAUUAUUUAUUGUUUGUUAUUGCUUCAGGAUCUAAUGUGAUGAUGUUUGUCAAUAGUUAAUAAUGAUUUGUUGACUGAAUAAUAGGCAAACUUUAUGUCUCAUGAUUAUUUCUCACUCUGGCUUGUUCUCAUUUAAUAUCAAAGUACUUUCAGGUUCUGCAAUGUUUGCCUAGAAUACUAGUCUUAAAUUCUUCAUCCUAAACAACAGAAUCGUAUAUUGUAAUUGGGAUUCCUGUACAUUUCAUCCUUCAACAUUUAAAAAAUAUUAAUUGAGCUCACACCAUAUCCCAGAGACUCUUCUAAACACAUAGGAUGUAUCUGUGACAGAGACAAAGAUCCCUUCUGCAUGGAGCUUACAUUCUAGAAGUCUGAGGUUUGAAAUUAUUUUCUCAGAAUAAUAUAAGUUCUUAACACUAAAGAGUUUCUUACAGAGUCUCGAAUUAAGUAACAAAUUUAUUUUGGCAACUUUCGAAGCUCACUGAGGGAAGAGAGAUUGGCUUAAAGCACCAGGGAAUUUUAUUUUUGCACAUAAAUAUUUAUAUGUGUAAAGGGGUGUGUGGUUAAUUAUAAGUGAUGGGAGGAGAAUGACAGAUGCUUAGAUCCUCUGUCCCCAUGGAGAGACAGACCUUGCCUGUUGGAGUGUAGUGGCACAUUGUGUGGUCUGUGUACUGAAUCACUGAUUUAAAUAUUGCAGCAGCUGGAGUGCAAAGUAUAUCAGCAAAUACUACAGGAGGAGGAGUGCAUGUGUCCUGAAUACAAAGUAAGAAUAAAAUAGGUUUGCAUAGUCACAUUGAGCAAGGCUGUGGCUGUGGAU